This 76347-nucleotide long non-coding RNA is filed under the name Eutrema salsugineum. RNAcentral's name for it is "long non-coding RNA (ESAL_LNC000269)". Lineage: Eukaryota; Viridiplantae; Streptophyta; Magnoliopsida; Brassicales; Brassicaceae. The record is from RNAcentral.
GACUAUGAGCUUAAACCUGGAGGACGAAACAUACGAGUAACAGAAGAAACAAAACAUGAAUAUGUUGACCUUGUAGCCGGCCACAUACUUACCAAUGCUAUUCGGCCUCAAAUCAACGCCUUCCUCGAGGGCUUUAAUGAGUUGAUACCUCGUGAGCUCGUAUCCAUUUUCAACGACAAAGAGCUCGAGCUCCUAAUCAGUGGAUUGCCUGAGAUUGAUUGUAAGUUGGAUCCUGUUGUUCAAUAUUGUUGCAUGUAUUUGCUUAUGCAUCAGGUUAUUUUAACAGUCUCAUGUUAUUUCGUUGUUUAGUUGAUGAUCUUAAAGCCAAUACCGAGUAUACCAGCUACACGGCAGGAUCUCCUGUUAUUCAUUGGUUCUGGGAGGUCGUUAAAGCUUUUAGCAAAGAAGACAUGGCUAGAUUUCUUCAAUUUGUCACCGGAACAUCAAAGGUAAACCAAAUAGUAGCACCGCUUCCGUCCAAGUCACUUGAAAUGCAUUUCCUGAUAUAUCCGUAUUUGGCUUCUUUCUGCUGGUGGAUGAUCUCGAUCUCCUCCUGCCUCGCUCUUGUGUAACGAUAGAUAAUCGCAAAAGAGGGAAAUCAUCUUUUGUUUUACGAAGUGAUUGGGUCUGUUUUUUUUUACAGGUUCCUUUGGAAGGUUUCAAGGCUCUGCAAGGUAUAUCUGGCCCUCAAAGAUUACAAAUCCACAAAGCGUAUGGAGCUCCGGAGCGGCUGCCAUCAGCCCAUACAUGGUUCGAAAUCAAUACAAAGCCUUUCCUUAAUACAAAACGGUUCAAUCUCGCCUUGAUUCUCAUUGGUUACGUCUGUUUUGUUCUGUUGCAGUUUCAACCAACUAGACCUCCCUGAGUAUCCAUCCAAGGAACAGCUUCAGGAACGCCUGCUACUUGCCAUUCACGAAGCCAGUGAAGGUUUCGGGUUUGCUUGAGCUACGCUUCUCGAAACCGUCACACCUUCAGAACCAGUGAAAACCCCCUUCAAUCCUUCAUUCUUUCGGCUCCCCUGUACAUGUAAGUAAGCUUCCAUACUUGUUUGAUACCCAAAGAAAAAAAGAUUGACCAUAAAGUGCUGGUUUGUUUGCCACACAAAUCUCAAGUUUUCAUUGGUUCCGUGGCAGAGACCGAAGAUUUUCUGGCAGGAUAAGGAGAAGAGCUUUCGAGAAAGUCUGCAGAAUGAAUACAAAACUCAAGAGGCUAUUUUUAUAUGUCCAUAUAUGUUAGUAUUAGACCAUUAGGGUUUAUGUUUCUCUUUAGAUUUUGUAAAGCAAAAAUCUUUGAAAUAAUUGCUGGCCUUUCUUUUGAGUUUGAAUACACCGGCUCUCUCUUUCCAUUACAUAAACGCGAUACAAGUGCAGGCGGAUAAAGCUAAGACAACUGAUUUAACUGUCACGGUCACUGGCAUUUUCCCUUUGUCGUUCCUCAACAACAUGCCUUGAUACAGAGGCCAGUUUAGUACCACAAGUACUCCUGUUAUCACAAUCUGCAUGCCCAUUGUCUGAAAAUGUUCACCGUCUCUUGAAGUGAUCAGUCUCAUAGCCGCUGCAGCGAAGCAGAAGAGAUUGAGCAUCCCGAGUGUUCCGAGGAGGAGAAACAUCGGAGACUCCACUCCAAACUCCAUUACCUCUUUCUCGUAUCUCUCUGCUGCUUCUUCCUCUGCUACUUUCGCCGUGAUUACAAAUGCAGACUCCGAAGCCCCAAGUUUCUUCAGAAUCGUGUCCGUGAAUCCGAAUACAAACGAGCUUGUUCUUCUAUAAAGCCACAUCCUUUGCUCGUUCCACCAUCCACGGAACGUUCCUCCGCACCACAAGAACUCGGCUAGGCUAUAGGAAUUAACUGCGACAGUCACGUAUCCAAAUGGGAAAAACCACGAGCUUGAGACCUGGAUUCAAAGACCAGAUCAGUUUUACCUGAAUGAGAUUCCGGGUUUAUGACAAACACAUAAAGAAACAGAGGGAAAGCCCUUUCUUUACCUUUGGAAACAGAGGAAUGCCUUUGAGUAGACAGAGAGAGGUCAAAACAGAGUAAACAAGCACAGGUACUGAACUUGGUGCCCAAAGGCAAAAGCAACAGUAACCAAGUAUCAGUCCCAAACCAAUCUUUCCGUGGCCAUACCAAACCGGACUAUACUCUGAAAGCAGAACCUGAAAGUCUCCCUCUGACUCUGCUGCACAAGCAUUUGAUGCAAAUUUGUCGGCGCUACCCCGACAAAAAGCUUUCUUUUUUGGGUUCAGGUACGCUAAUUUCCAUCCAUGGCAUUGAAUCGCUAAACCGGUUAUUACAUCUUCUACCGGGCAUAACCAUAUUUUACACCCAUCUGCAAUGGAAACAACCAUGGUUUACUUGGUUUUCAAUGAAUGAGACACUGGUUUAAUUCCGGUCCAUAUAUAAAUUUUCCAUACGACGAAAAAAAAUAUAAUAAUACAUAUGUUUUUGAGCAUUUUGUCCAUCCAUAUAUUAAAUCAUCAUUUACAACAUACCAAUAUAUUCUUUUUCAAUGUGCCAAUACACAAAAUCCUCAAAAAUCAACAAAACAAAAAAUAUUGAUUUAAUAACGUGAUACAUAGCUUACCAUCAACGAUGUUCUAUACACCAAAAUAAACUGCGAGAACCCAUCACUGUACUUCAACCGCGCCUCCUCAGGUACUCGCCGGAGUUUCGUCGCUGUUUCAAUCCUCGCCGCCAUUUCUCUAUACAACUCAGCCACCUCCUUGGCCACAGCAGAAUCAAGAACAUUUGCCGUGGAAGACAAGUAAGCCGCUGGAGAUCUCGGCUCAACGUUGAAUCUCUUACAGAAUGGAACCCAAAUUCCGGCAAACUCAGCUGCCUCCGCGAGGGCAUAGAACGUGAGCUCAGAGCCACCGUCAUCUGAGAGAUAUACGGCGAGUUUCUCCGGUGGAUAAUCGAGAGCCGUCACAGAUAAGAAAGUGUUAACAACCAUCAACGGCGGCUCAAUCACCGGAUCCGCCGUGCAGACGAAAACGUCGAGCGUGGGAAGAUCGUUCCCGUACCUCCGGGAGAGUCUGUCGGUGAAGGUAAAUCGCCAAACCGGAUUCCACCGGAGAGACUGUACGACUACCCAAUACAAACCGAACCAAAUCUCCAUGAUUAAGAUAACCAACCAGACAAUUGGAACGAAACUGGUCCGGUUCUCAUCAAUCUCUACCGGUAUGGUCACUCUGUAGAACCAAAUCCAACAGAUACAAAAGAAAACCGAGGCUGAGAAAACCCGGUACGAGAUCACUCUUCCGGUUUUCCUCCUGGUGACAAAAAGCGGUUCGCCUUGGUGAACCGGUCUAAACGGGUCAUCUUCUUUUCUCAUGUUUUUUGUCUCUCUGAGUAGGAAGGGAGUGGGAAAGAUAAGAGAAGCGUGUCUCUUGUUCGCUAUAUAUCCAAAAUACAGAGAUUAGUGGAGGCUGUAAUUUUGGACAAUUUCAAAAAGACGAAUAGAGCAUUCUCUUGACGUCAGCAAUUAUUUUUUUCUUUCCUUCGGACAAAAACAGGUCAGAGAUUAGAGAUAGCGUCCAAUAAUCAAAGAUGAGACUUAUCUCUUUUUUUCUGAACGAAUAAGAUGAGACUUAUUAAACAAAAGAUAAAGGCUGAAGCUGAUGUUUCUUAGGCUUUUAGCAAAUGGUUGGUGAUGAUGAAUAAAAGUAUCAAAAUGGGCUGUCCAUGUCUAUUUAGGCCCGUCCAAUUGUCCAAUUUGAUUGUGGACAAAUGGUGUUCAUAUCCAUUAACGACUAUGUCCAUUAACAACCAUAUCCAUUAACGAUCUAAAUGGGCUGUCCAUCAGUAUCUAUUGGACACAUAGUAUAAUAUAUUGUUUGUUUUUGUUUUUUUCUUUGUUUUAUAGAUAAUUUUUUGUUUUUCGCAUUUUUCAGAAAAAAAAACACAUGAAAAAAUAAUUUUAUAUUUUUGCAAAAAAAAUGAUUUUGCAGAUUUAACGAGGAAAUUGUUUCUGCGUUUUGCCGAGAAACUGGAAUUUUGAGUUUUUGGCAGAAAAUCGAGAUUUUGCGUUUUUGGCAGAAAAUCAAGAUUUUGCAUUUUUAGCGGGAAACCAAGAUGGAAACCAAGAUUUUUCGUUUGGUAGAAAACUGAGAUUUCUUAAUUUUGCGUUUUUGGCAGAAAAUCAAGAUUUUGCAUUUUUAGCGGAAACCAAAAUUUUUCGUUUGGCGGAAAACUGAGAUUUCUUGAUUUUGCGAGAAAUUGAGAUUUUAUGGUUUUAGCAAAAAAUCAAAAUUUAGUAUUUUUUAGUAGGAAACUGAGAUUUUUUGUUUCCGUCAAAAAAUAGAAUUUUUCUCAUACUUGUUGUAUUCUUUGUACGAUAGAGAAUUUUUCAUUUGAUAUUAAUUAUUAUAAUAAUAAUAAUAUUGGACCAAAAUAAAAUAAAUAAAAAUUAAUAGUUUUGAUGUAGUAUUUUUUGUCCAAUAGACGGAAUGUCCUAAGUGUCCAACUCUAUUUUGUCCAUUAACAAAAAUGGACGAAACCUAUUUUAACUUGUUUCGAAAAUGGAUUUGUCCAUGACUAGUCCAAAAUACGUUAGACAUAGAGAAACUAUGGGCUUCCGGGCCCAUUUUGACACCUCUAGUACUGAUGAAUAUCAACAAUUAACAAAAAAAAAUUCUCAUCUAAUUUUGGGGAGUACUGAAUCAAAUCAAGAAUCACCAUGAACGCGUAUGACACAUGAUGUUGCGGAGAUCUUGGUUUCAUAACUGAAGAUUAAAGGGUCUCUGCAAAGACUGCAACAGUGUUGAUUUUGAAGAAGUAACUGCACUAAAAAAAAACAAGAUGAACGCAGAUUUGCAAUCUAUCUUAUGUGAAUGACCUGUUGUUAUUGAAAUUCAAAUUCAGGCUAUCCAUAUCGAUCAAUUCCAUAUCGGAAGGUUGUUGUUUGUAACACUUGUGUUUAUAUGCAAAGAUAUGAAAUGUUAAGUUUCAUAUGGGAUGUCCACUUCAUAUGGGAUGUUCUAAUAUUAAUAUAGCGCUGACAGAUAGCAAGAAGAAGCUUCUCUAUUUGCAAAUUGAUGUAAACAGAAAUGAGUUAUUUUUAUAUAUAUUACAUAACUACUUGACCAUUAUUUUUAAUACAUUUGACACUCAUUUUCCUUUACAAAAACGCAAUACAAGUGCAAGCAGAUAAAGCUAAGACAACUGAUUUAACUGUCACGGUCACUGGCAUUUUCCCUUUGUCGUUCCUCAACAACAUGCCUUGAUACAGAGGCCAGUUUAGUACCACAAGUACUCCUGUUAUCACAAACUGCAUGCCCAUUGUCUGAAAAUGUUGACCGUCUCUUGAAGUCAUCAGCCCCAUAGCCGCUGCAGCGGAGCAGAAGAGAUUAAGCAUCCCGAGUGUUCCGAGGAGGAGAAACAUCGGAGACUCCACUCCAAACUCCAUUACCUCUUUCUCGUAUCUCUCUGCUGCUUCUUCCUCUGCUACUUUCGCCGUGAUUACAAACGCAGACUCCGAAGCCCCAAGUUUCUUCAGAAUUGUGUCAAUGAAUCCGAAAACAAAUGAGCUUGUUCUCCUAUAAAGCCACAUCCUUUGCUCGUUCCACCAUCCACGGAACGUUCCUCCGCACCACAAGAACUCGGCUAGGCUAUAAGCAUUAGCUGCGACAGUCACGUAUCCGAACGGGAAAAACCACAAGCUCGAGACCUGGAAUCAAAGAUCAGAUCAGUUUUACCUGAAUGAGAUUCCGGGUAUAUGACAAACACAAAAAGAAACAGAGGGAAAGCUCUUUCUUUACCUUUGGAAACAGAGGAAUGCCUUUGAGUAGACAUAGAGAGGUCAAAACAGAGUAAACAAGCACAGGUACUGAACUUGGUGCCCAAAGGCAAUAGCAGCAGUAACCAAGUAUCAGUCCUAAACCGAUCUUUCCUUGGCCAUACCAAACCGGACUAUACUCUGAAAGCAGAAUCUGAAAGUCUCCCUCUGACCAUCUCCUCUGCUGCACAAGCAUUUGAUGCAAAUUUGUCGGCGCUACCCCAAGAAAAGCUUUCUUUUUAGGGGUCAGGUACGCCGAUUUCCAUCCGCGGCACUGUAUCGCUAAACCGGUAAUUACAUCCUCUACGGGGCAACCAUAUUUCAGACCCAUCUGCCAUGGAAGCAAAACCCGGUUUACUUCCCUAUCAAGAAACCAGAAACCGGUGGAGUAAGUGAAGUAUUAAUCAAUGCUUUUACCUCCUUUCCCCAUUGAGAGUUUUCUUCAUAAGUGCAGCUCGCGAGAGCUUUAAUCAUCUCAGGCUCUAAAAUUUCUUGAAUUUCCUCAGAUUCUUCUUCUUCUACCUCUCCAUACUUUCUUCCACAGAUCACGUCUCUUCUGUGAAAGCAGCCAGUCCCAAUGUACAGCGGUCCGCCAUUUCCAUCCAGUCCAUUAAACUCCACCUUUUGUUUUUUCACAUCCCAAAACACACAGGUUAGAUAAGACAACAACAGAAUCAAUAUAUCAAAAAUCCAGAAUCUAUGUUGUGUUUUCUACUGUCUCUGUCUCUAUAACUUACAUCAGCUAUUACUCGCAUCAUGCUUCCAUACAAAUCAUUCCUAGUAAUGUUCUCGUAACACUGCGGAAACUGCACGAAGGCAAUCUCCUUUCCCUCUUUCUCAUCAAGUAGGAUGCAGAGCGCGUCUAGUGCUGACUUUGAGUUGUUUGAGUACAUAUCGCAGUCCAGGUUAAGUAUGAUUCUCCCACAGGUUAUCUUCGAAGAAACCCUUAUCUGAUCAAAGAAACAACCAUAUCAAAAGGGCGACCAAUCGAGGAGAAAUCAGAAUGGCUUGUGGAACAAGAAACCAUUACCAAUGCGUUCAUAGCUCCAGCCUUGAAAUGAUGAUGAUGUUGAGGUCUCUUCUCCCUUGAUAGAUACACCAACGUUGGUAUUGCUACUGUGUUCUUUUUUCUUCCGUCUACCAAAAUCUGAUGCAACAAAAUAAACAAUCUAAAGAAUCCACUUUUCCGAUUGCUGAAUAACAGAACAUAACCCUAAAAAACCCUAUUGCUUACUUGAAGAAUGGUUCCAUGGUUUCUCUGAGUAACGUCAGAAUCCCACUGCGAGAACCCAUCACCGUACUUCAACCGCGCCUCCUCAGGUACUCGCCGCAGUUUCGUCGCCGUUUCAAUCCUCGCCGCCAUUUCUCUAUACAACUCAGCCACCUCCUUGGCCGCAGCAGAAGAUUCAAGACCAUUUGCCGUGGAAGACAAGUAAGCCGCCGGAGAUCUCGGCUCAACGUUGAAUCUCUUACAGAACGGAACCCAAACUCCGGCAAACUCAGCUGCCUCCGCGAGGGCAUAGAACGUGAGCUCAGAGCCACCGUCAUCUGAGAGAUAUACGGCGAGUUUCUCCGGUGGGUAAUCGAGAGCCGCCACAGAUAAGACAGUGUUGACCACCAUCAACGGCGGCUCAAUCACCGGAUCAGCCGUGCAAACGAAAACGUCGAGCGUGGGAAGAUCGUUCCCGUACCUCCGGGAGAGUCUGUCGGUGAAGGUAAAUCGCCAAACCGGAUUCCACCGGAGAGAUUGUACCACUAACCAAUACAAACCGAACCAAAUCUCCAAAGUUAACAUAACCAACCAGAUGAAUCGAACGAAACCAGUUCGGUUCUCAUCAAUCUCCGACGGUGCGGUAACUCGGUAGAACCAAAUCGAACAGAUACAUCCGAAAACCGAGGCCGCGAAAACCCGGAACGUAAUCACUCUUCCGGUCCUCCUCCUGGUCACAAAAAGCGGUUCACGGUCGCCUUCUUGAACCAGUCUAAACCGGUCGUCUUCUUUCCUCAUGUUUUUUUUUUUUUUGAUUAUUUUUUCUCUGUAAGGCGGCGCCAAGUGGGAAGGAUAUGAGAAGUGUCUCUCUGGUAGGUUACUUUACUUAUAAUAUGUAUAGAGAGAUUAGUGGAGACAUUGUUGUCCAAAAAGGAACGUGGACUUCCCUGACGUCAUUAGAAUCGUCAGCAACUAUGUUUCAGUUUCAGACAAAUGAUGACAGGUAGGCGUCAAGGAUCAUGAUUAAACUUCUUAAUCUUAUCAGAUGACGUUUUCGUUGACUUUAGCACUUGGUUUGGUUAGUGAUUAAAAUAAUAGUCAAAGAGUAACAAACUUCAUUUCAAUUUCUUAUAAUAUUAUCUUGGGAGUACUGUAUGCCUCUGACUCGUGAUGUUGCAGAGAUCUUGUUUUCACAUUUGAAGAAAAAGCGCUCUGCAACAAUGGAGAUUCAUAUAUGAAGCAAACAGAGUAACAAGAAGCUUCUCUACUUGCAAAAGAAGGUAAACAGAAAAUGAGUUCUAUAUAUAUAUAUAUAUAUAUAUUCGAUCAUAAGAUCCAUUUCGAGGAAAUUGUGUUUCCCUUUCUUCUUUUUUUUCAAACAACCCUGCAUCUAGCUGAUGCAAGCAAAUCUAGGAAUACAAUCUUGAGAUGCUAAACAAGUAAAGCUGACUCUUAUCUUAAAUACUGCUCAUAAACUUUAAACCAGAGAAAAUUCCGGUUUUUGUUUCAUCUUGGUCGGCAAACUCGUGUUAUAAGACGGCUCAAAUGAGGAAUCAGACCUUCUGGUCAUUUCCAAGCUUCUGGAACUCAGAUUCUAAGGUAUCGAAUAUCUUGGUGCCUUCCGUGUCUGGCUCAGGGAACCUAACGUGGACCGAACCAUGUCUGAUCGGUGCACUCGACCCUUUAACCAGAGCCUGUUGCUUGACAUAGUUGUAAAGCUCUUGGUGGAAAGAGUGAUCCAAUGAGAAACAAUUGUCUACUGUUCCAUUUGAGAUAUGCCUACCAGAUCCAGACCCUUCUCUUCUACAGAAAUGUGGCAGAGACUCGUAGUCCAUUAUCUGCAUUAGGUUUAAAACUUUCAGCAAGAAGCUAUACUUUGAAUCGAUUUUGGCAAUGAGCUUCGCUUGUCAAUUGCUUACCUUUAGCAACUCAUCUUUCCCGCAGCCUUUCAGCACUUGAAUCUUCUUCUUUGUUCUCUCCUGCAACAGAGGCUUUAUGGUUUUCCAACAAGCAGAGAAUAUGUAAGGGACAUUGACAAUAUAAUAUGUCUCUGUCUUCUCUGGGUAGUUUAAAUCAUCAAUUGUGGUUAUAGCUGUCAUUAACUGCGCAAAAAGAAAAGAAACACACCAUGUGAUGAAUAAUAUAAAUACAAAUAAAAGCUACAUAAAUCAUAAGCAAAUGUAGAUUACUAAAUUUAGCUAAAGAAGACAAAUAUGUAGAAUUAUUACCUUAAUUUGACUUAAAGCUGAAAGCUUUAAACCAGACAUAUCCAAAAUUUUCAAACAAGUGCAAAUUGGUCGUCCCUGUUUCUUUGUAGCAGAUGGCUACCAGACAAGAAUAUCACACAAUUAAGAUUUAUGAAAACAAGCAUAUGUAGAAAUGAAGUAGUAGGAGGAAAAAGCUAUUAAAAUAAAAAGAAAAGUUUUGGUCAUACCAAAACGACACGAUCCCGGAACUCAUUCAUUUGAAUGUGAGACUGUACAUAGUAGUGAACCUGAAGGAAGGAUCAGGAAGCUAUAUGGUCAGAGUUUCAACUUCAUAUCUCAAGUCUUUGUGUGGAAGAUGGAGAGACUUAAAAUGAACAGAGAUGCUUACGGAGGCUUUGUCAUAUGUGCUAAGCCCCACACCAAUGGCAAUGACAGGGAGACCCUUAAAAAGUUGAUGAACAUUUCAACAAAGUUAGUUUUGAUCAAACAUGCCUAGUUGUGAUGCUUGUUGAAAGUCAAAAGUCAGAGAAAGAAAGAGACUCAAAACAAGUUAGAACUAACUAGUAGUACCUCUUUUGAAUAACCAGAGAUACCGACAAGCUGAGAUUCUCUGAUUGCUCUGUACAGGUCAACAGGAACGAUGGGUUUCUACAAAGAAAGAAAGAAACCAAAAAAAUUCAAUUUAUCGGAUGAGAUAAAAAGGGUCACAGAAGUUUAUCGUUGAGAAUAAUUUCAGUGAAGAAAAGCAGAAGACUCACUGUAAGAAUCUUGUCAAUCUCGUUUUGAGUCCUCCAUUCUAAACACUCAAGCAACUGCAAACAUAUAGUUUUAAGCCCCAAGAAGGCAAAUAAUAUAAGAAACAAAGCAUCAAAGACAAUCUGGAUUAGGUGAAAGCAAACAGAUUUAUUAAACCAUUUUAUGAGCUUUCUGGACAUUCCAAUCCCUCGCUUUUAGAAAGCGCAACAAAGUCUCUGUUGGAUACCCUUGAUGAAUGUUCUGCAGCAUAACACAGGCAUUUUGUUAAAUCCACCAUUUUUAUUUAUUAAGCUCAAUAAAGAUCCAAGUUACAUUUUAACACCCAACUCAAAACUCUGGAUCAGCCAAUAUUCUAACUACAAAACUCCACAGAUCCAACAACAUUGAACCAAAUGCAAGAGAGAAGUGUCAACUUAGAGCUUGAUUCAAAUAUAGAUCCAGAUCAUUGCCGAUCAAAUACUCAUGACAAUCAGAUUGGUUCCAAUUGACCCCAACGAAAAAAAGGUUUUUUUUCUUUUCCGUUGCUACUUCGGUUUAUAGCCCGAAAUACCAAAUCAGAACAACCAAUCUUUGGCUCAAUAAGCAAAGAGUUGGAGUUGAAUCAUACUACGCAUCUAAAGAAAGAGGAAAGCAAGAAAAUUACUAACCCGAUACGACUCUCUCAGUGAUUCAUCAACUGUCAAUACCAGAAGAAGAAACCAAAACAAAAAAAAAAAUUAGGAUUUCGUCGGCGAUCUUGGAACAAAGCAAAGCUUAAAACAUGAAACACACAAAGAGAAAAAAAAAAAAAAAACCACACCAUCUUCCAUUAAAGUACGUAAUUGCUUGAUUGCUUCCUCACUAGAGAUGCCCAUUUUCUCUCUCUCUAUCUCUAGAGAUCUCAGCUCAGAUGUGAAAGAAAACAAAAAACCUGUAAACUCUGGGCAAAAGUUUCUGCGGGAAAUCUAAAGAGAGUAAAUCUCUGAUCUUACGGACAAUAGUUCCUCCGAGGAAGUGAGAGAGAAAUAAAGAAAUUAAAAAAAAAUGUGCACUUUUUAUUUUUUAUUUUUCUGUGGAAAUGGAGCGAAGAAUUAAGCUUUUAGAGAGAGAGAGAGAGAGAGAGAAAACUCUAAAGUUCUCUCUCUGCUUAAAGCCUUUCUUCUCCAAUGAGUUAGACAAAUAUCAUCUCAAGUUCUCUCUUGUAAUAAACACAAGAGCAAGUGAUUUUGGAUUUUCUUUUCUAAACAAAUACAAAAAGAAACAAUGAAUUUUCCGAUCAUGCUUCUUUUUUCCAUUUUUUGGAGAUUCCAAAAACAAUGAAUUUCCCUUUCUUUAUUUGGAAAUCUCCACUCAAAUUCAACCAUCUAAGAAAAGUCAAGGGAGAAUUUAAUAGUUUCACUUCAUUUUCCUCAAACUUUACUUAUUUUCUGAUUAUCGAUUAAAGUAAAAAUAUUCUUCCCGGAAAGAAAAAAAAUGAGAAGCCUGAGAUGGAAUUAUUAUUUAAUGACAUUUGCAUGCUUGAAACAAUUGGCCUUCCAUUAAUUAUUAAUAAUACUUAAUGUAGAUCAAUCGAUCGAUGAAUAGAUUGUUGGAUUAAUUUAGUGUAAUUAAUAAUAAUUUGUCAAAAGAUAUGAAAGGAAAACUCCAAAACGAGAACCAAUGAAUCUGAUUCUUUCGAAUUUGAUUGUUGAUAUCCAGUACAUACGCACUAGUAAAGAAAGAGAAAAAAAAAGUGAAUGUAAAUGAAGUAGGACUAAGUAAGUUUUCUGAUUAAUAUUUGAUCAAGACGAUGCCCAUAAUUAAUAACCGUGUGUCAUCUUCUUUCGAUACAGAAAAUACGUUUAGUUUGGCUUGAGAAUGCAACAAAAAAAGAAUAAGAUGCGUGCACCAAACAAUGUUUUAACGAGUAAAUAACAAAACUCAUUAUUUUAUGCAAAGAUAAAAAAGAAAUAAAGAAACAUAAAUGUCCAUCGUCAUGUGUUAGUUCUCCUCAUUCAAUCACAAAAUUAAAGACCCCAUAUGCCACAUGUGACAUGCAUCAUCGAUCGUGAACCAUCUUCCUUACUUUUUUCUUCUUUGUUUUAUUUUAUUUUCUGUCGGUUUUCUACUUAUUUCAACAAAUAUAAAAAUCCCAUUUAGAUACUCUCGAGUCUUAACAACAUACUAGAUUUUGCUUCCACGCUUGUUAAUAAAAAUUAUAUGCAAUCAAUUGUAUUUAUUAAGAUAUAAAUUUUAUAUAUUAGUAAUUUAAUAAUAUAUUAAAAAUAUUAUAAUGUUAAUAUAAUAAUUUUUAUGUAAAUUUUGAGGUUUUAACGGUUUUGUUUUAAAUCUAUAUACAAUAUGUCAUAUUUCAAAAACGUAUUAUUUAAUCAAACACUUAUAAGUUAAUACAACCAAAUCAACUAAAUUUUUUUAUAAAUUUGUCAAAUGGUACUUAUUAAACAUAAUAUUGACAUGAUGAUAAAAUAUUAUACAUUACUUCUUUAAAUCAUGAAGAUAAUUUUUUUAUCAUUUUCACUUUCCUUCAAUUAUAUAUGUAUUUUUUAAAAACAAUAAUAAAUUUAAAAUUUAAUUAUUUUUCUUCUCUUGUUUAACCGAUACAAAUUUUUAUUUUGUUAUAUUAAUUUAAAAAACAAGCUAAUAAAUAAAAUAUUUGCUUUGAGAUUAAUAACAACUUUAAAUUUGAAAUCAAAAUAAUAUUUGAAUAUAAAAUAAAGAAAAUCAUACAAAAUUUGUGAAUUAAAUAUAUUUUUAUCAAUUGGUUGUGUAAACGUUUAAAUACUUUUUCAAUGAUUAUACGUCAUUGAUUCUAAUAAGAAUGAAUUUUUUCAUCAUGUUCAUUUUUAUUCUUGUUAUAUCUGUUUUUUCAACUAAUAGAUCAUAUUUAUUUAUUUCAAUGAUUUUUGUAUGAUUAUAUUCAGUUUCAUCAGAUUCAAUCUUACUUCUUUUAAUUAUAUUUAAGUAGGCAGCCGGUACAAUUUAAUACAUAUAAAUUUAGAAAAACGAAAUAACAAAUUGAAAUCUCCUCAAAACUAAAAACUUCUACAUUAAUCUAUUGUAAUUCCAAGCCGAAUAUACAAAAUAUAAUUUUUUCGAUCAUUUUUUCAUAAUAUAUUACAUGAAAUUAUGUGGAAAUAUGUUUUGCAUAUGUGAAAAAAUUAAUAUAAAUUAUAAUUAUUAGUUAUUUAAAAUUUUACAUGAAAAGCCUUAAAAUCAAGUGACAUAAACUUGUAUAACUAAUAUAUAGUUUUAUAGAUAAUAAAUUAAAUUUCUAAUUAAAACAGAAAUAAUGAAGAUUUUAAUAGUAUGUUUUUUAUUAUUAGAGAUUUUUUAUUCUUUAAUUUACUUUCUUAAUAGAAUUAGGAAAUUUUUUUAAAUUUACAAUUUUGAUAUAUACGAAUAAAAUUUAAUUUUUAAAUGCUGAUGUGAAUGCCUUGAAAAUAACAUACCUUUAAUUUUUAUUCAUAAUAUAAUAGUUUUAAUUAACAAUUUUUUCUAUAUUGUUUUGUAUUAAUAAUAUAAUUUUAUAAUUUACUUUUUUUAAAAAAAUUUAGUUAUUGAUGUACACUAAUAAAAUUGACCUUUUAAAUCUUAUGUGGAUGUCUUUAGAGGCAUAUAGCUUCUAUAUUUAUUUUUCUAUAAACAUAUUUUUUGUUAACUAUAUAAUUUUAAAUUUUGAAAAUUUUUCUAAUUUGAAAUAUUGAUGUAGACCAAUCAAAUUGAACUUUUACAUCAUAUGGACAUUCUUAGAGGCAUAUAGCUUUUAUUUUUUUUUUAAUAAUAGAUUUAGAAAUCAAAGCUGGAAGAUCCCACACGAGGCAAGUGAUUAUGGUUUUAGGUUUACCGAAUGUAUUCGCAUGUUGCUUGGUCAGCUAAUUGUUACACUUUUGGUUAAUGUUAGGUUGUUAAAACCCCAUCAAAUGCCAUGUUAUUUCAAAAAUCUUCCUCGGAUACCUCAAUUUUCGGCUUAAUGACAGAACUUCUUUCUCUAUUUUCAGUGCUUCGUUUUUCAAAAGUGUCAUGAUUUUGGUCUUGCCUCCUUGUUUUUGAGGCUUACCGAAUGUAUUUGGAUGCUUCUUGCUCAGCCAAUUGUUACUUUUGUGCUUAAUGUUAAGUUGUUAAAACCGUAUCAGAUGCCAUGUUAUUUCAAAAAUCUUCCUCAAAUACCUUAAUCUCCUUCGUCUUAAUGACGGAACCUAUUUCUCUAUUUUCAGUGCUUUUUUUUUUUAAAGUGUCGAGUAUCAAUCACUUGACAUGUUUCUCGGAUUGCUUGAAAUUUAUCAUUCUUCUCAAAUUCGGUGGUCAAGCUUAUUUUUCGGUCUCUUUUUCGAUAUUAAAGCAGCUUGUAAUGGUUUUGUUUUAUAUAUCGUUUCAUUAUAUUCUUUGUAAUUUAGCUAAUAGUUAAACUUAUAGUUUAGCCAAGUUGGUUAUUUUACGUUGUAAUGAUUCAUUUUUUUGGGAAACCUAACUCUAUUUUUUUGUUUUUUGUUUUUUUGUUUUUAAUUUGAAAUGGUUGUACACACAGAAAAAAAACUUAAAAAUUAUUAUAGUUAUGUGACAAAAAUUUGGAUACUAAUGUAAGAAUCUCUAAAUAUGUGUGUAUACAUCUAAUUUAAAUUUAAAAUUUUCUUUUUUAAUAUUAUUUAUUUUAGUUUUUUAUUAUUAACAAAAAAAUUAUAUAUAAUUUCUUUAUCUUUAAUAAUUUUUAAAAAUAAUAAUGGAAUUUGAAAAAAAAAAAAAUUUCAAUGUUGAGGUGGACCAAUUAAAAAUUUAUAUAAAUUUUUUUAUUCAGCAAUAAUUAGAAUUUGUAAACUUUCUUAAUUUAUUUAGUUAGCAAUAAUAUUAAAAAUUUGUAAACUUUCCUUAUUUUUGAUUGUUGAUGUGGACCUCAGGAUGCCAUUUAUAGCUUCAGAUUUUAUUUUUCUAUAAAUAUUUUUUUGUUAACAAUACAGUUUUAAAAUUUGAAAAUUUUCUUAAUUUUAAAUAUUGACAUGAACCAAUAGAAUUGAAAUUUUAAAUCAUAUGUGGACACUUUUAGAGGCAUAUAACUUCAGGUUUUAUUUGUAAUAUAUUUAGAUAUUAACGCUGGAAGAUCCUACAUGAGGCCCGUUACGGCAAGUGAUUUUGGUUUCUCCUCCAUAUUUUGAGGCUUACGGAAUGUAUUCUGAUACUGUUUGGUUCAGCUAAUUGUUACCUUUGUGGUUCAGGUUGUAUUGCUAAACCUUUGUCAGAUGUCAUGUUAUUCCAAAGAUUUUUCUCGGAUACCUCAGUCUUUUUUGUCUUAAUGCAGAACCUCUUUCUCUAUUUUUAGUAGUUCGUUAUUCAAAAAUUUUGGGUAUCAAUCACUUGACAUGUUUCUCGGAUUACUUGAAAUUUAUCAUUCUUCUCAAAUCUGGUGGCAAAACUUUAGAGAUUUUACGGUCUCUUUUUCAAUAUUAAAACAGAUUGUAGUGGCUUUGUUUUCAUCAUAUUCUUUUUAAUUUAGCUAAUAGUUAAACAUAUAGUUUAGUAAAAUUGGUUCUUAAUUUUACAUUGUAAUGAUUCAUUCUUUAGUGAAACUUAACUCUAUUUUUUGCUUUUUUAAAUUGAAAUGGUUGUACACACAUAAAAAAACUUAAAAUUUAUUAUAGUUAUGUGACAAAAAUUUGGAUGCUAAGGGCAGGAUUAUCGCGGUAUACAACAGGGUUUCUAAAUAUUAUUUUAUAAUUUUUUAAUCAAUUGGUUUGAAAACUUUUCGGGAACGUCUCUUAUUUUGAGACUAAAAGAGACGUCUCUACUUUCUCUCUCCCUCUUUUCUUCUUCCACGUGGUCAUUCUUCUCAAUUUAAUAAUAAAAAAAAACUAAGAGAUCCAAAUAAGAGUAUCAGCGAUAAUUAUGGUCUAAUGUAAGAGUCUCUAAAUAUAUGUGUAUACAUAUGUAAAUAAAUUUUAAUAUUUUAUUUUUUCUUAGUUCUUUAUAUAAUUGAAACAUCUAAUUUAAAUUUAAAUUUUCCUAUUUUAAAAUUAUUUAUUUUAUUUUAUUAUUUUAAAUUUUAUAUAUAAUUUAUUCAUCUUUAAUAAUUUUUUAAACAAUAAUAGAAUUUAGAAACUUUUUUAUUUUUAAUGUUGAGGUGGACCAAUAAAAAAUUUAUACAAAAUUUCUUUAUUCAACAAUAAUAUUAGAAUUUGUAAACUUUCUUAAUUUUUUAUUUAACAUUAAUAUUAAAAUUUAGAAAUUUUCUUAAUUUUGAAUGAUAAUGUGGACCAAUAAAAUUGUUAAUUUCCUUAUUUAACAAUAAUAUUAAAAUUUAGAAAUUUUCUUAAUUUUGAAUGUUGACGUAGACCAAUAAAAUUUAUCUUUUACAUCCUAUGUGGACACCCUGAAAAGCAUUUAGUUUCAACUUUUAUUAUUAAUAUAUAUAUAUAUAAGAUCCCCUAUAUUCCAUUUUUUCUUUUCUUUUUUAUUUUGUUAAAAUGCCUAUAUAUUCUAUUUAUUAUUAUUAUUAUUAUUAUUUUUCUAAUUAAAUGCAUGCAUCUAAAAUUGGACCUAACAUCUGGCGUACGAAAAAAUCCCUACCACCCUUCAAAAGAGAUAAUAUUCUCCAUUAUGUGUCUAUUGAAUUUAAACCCGAAAAACAAAAGAACAAAAAAAACUCAUCCCGUGAUUAAUUACUCAAUAUAUAGACAGACGAAGAAGUUAUAAUUCUUCUGUACAUGCAAUCUUGAUAGAUUUUUUUAUUUUUUUUUAACGAAUUGACUGUAAAUAAGAUAUUACAGUCUACAAAAACUUGAUGGUAGUGAUUAAUUGGGUUUUUAUUACACUGGACAGAUAUUGAUUCAGUUUCGGAGACAGAAGUAAGCACAAGACGAUAUCCAAAUGUCAUUGCAAGAAGAAUCCAAACUUGUUGAACACCUAUAUAGCUCCUUUCAGAGUUACUGUGUCGAACGACGACGAGCUCUGCAAAUGUUCUGCAUAUCCUCCAUUAUAAUGCUUCCACAUUCGAAAGCUUCUCGCUUGAAUACCGAGCUUUGAGCAGCAGUCUAAAGCCGUACGUAUAGUGCAUGAAUGAUAAGUACUUCAACUUUCGUAUGUGCUGCAUAAACCAAUAUACUGUAUACCAAGAAAAUUAAUGAGUUAAUUAGAGCAAGUACAUUAGUGAACCCCUCUUUGGGGUUCACCAAAAUAAAAUAAUAGUUUUUUUUGUUUUGAGUUUAUUGAAGAACCUGUGCUAUAAUUAAAAUUCCAUUGGUGAACUCUAGAGAAAGGUUCAUCAAGAAUAAAAAAUAAUUUUUGAAGAAGAAAAUUAAUGAGUUAAUUAGUAUCACAUGCAUGGAUGAUGGAUAUCAUAUCGUCUUGAAAUAUUUAAAAACUUUGUCAUAAAUUUUGACUAAGUAGUAUUUAAAAAGUUUUUAUAUAGAUACCGACAAGCUGUAAUAUAGAAGCGCAGCAAAAUGGAUCAACUAUAUAACCAACCUGCAACUUUUCUUUCUUUCGUUGGUUCGUUCUUUCUGUGUUAGUUUGAAGCAAAAGAAAGACAAAUAUUUUACUAAAAAAGGUACUUUUUAUUUCACCUUUACUUUAUCGCUUCGCCAACGAAAACGGCGUCGUAUAGCGGGUAGUUGACAAAUACAGUAGUGUUCCUUUCUUCUUCUUUCGUUGUUCGUCUUUUGAAGGAAGAACAACACAACGCAGAGAAGAAAAAUGGACGAUUCGCGGGAUAUAUUGAUGUCGACAUUGAUAGAAUCUGGGGUGUUGAUUCCCGGAGAUUUCUCUUCCGUCGGAAAAUUUUCUUCAGAAGCUUUGGUAUCGAUCUGCGCUCAGUUGCUUAAUCUCAUUAAUCCAUCGGCGUCGUUUUGCGAUGACUUACCUGAUUCUCUCCCCGAAAGGUUUAAGAUCUGCACCGAUAUCGCUCUGUCUGUGACGAACCUAGGCUACAUCGGCGACAUGAGUUAUUAUAAGGUACCCUGUUCCCUCUUUAGAUCGCAAGCAGAAUGUGUCGGAGAAUCUAUGAUUAAGCAUAUCUUCUUUGAUUAAAGGAAACAACUUUAGGAUUUAAUAUACCUAAAGGAUCAUGCUUUUACAGUGGAAUUGAUAGAUGAUGCGUGGUGGUCAUAAGAACUGAUUGCAGUGGAGUUUGUAGAUUAGUGACAAACUAGCACCCAUUCGUCUUUCAUAUAUGAAGUAUCGAAUGAAGCAUUUUUUUCUUUCUGCAUUUGUGAUUCUGCAAUAUCAUGAGGGUGAUGUGCUGUGAGACGAUUCUCUAGAGCUGUGAUAGUCGUUUUGGUUUAAUCUGUUGAAGUUUACUUUCCGUUCUGGCUGUGUGGCUUUCCUUAUCUGUUUGAAAUCAUGCUGAAACAGAUUGUAUGUGUUGCUUGCGGCAGUUUCUGCAUCCAUCCCAAGAUGACUCGUAUAGGUUGAUUAGAUUUUUGGUUGAGAGGCUUUCGGAGGAAAAUGAAGGAAUAAAAACUUCUACGGCUGGUGAUAUAGCUAGCAGGCCAAAGGUGGAGAAUUUCACAGAUAUUUCAGAUGACAGAAUGGUGAAGGAGGACAAUGAUGAGACUUUUGAUAUGCAUAUACAGAAGGUUGAAGCUGUCCUAAAAGAUCUUACUAUGACUACUGAAAUCUCUCAUGCAAAAAGUUCUUCAGCCAAUGGUUCAACCAUUGUUGACCUCUUCUCCAUUGCUGAUGAAGCAUCGGGUCUUUCUAUGAGACACGAAGAAGAUUCCUCUGUUGACCCGUCUGAGGUACUGUUUCCCCUGCUUAUCUUGACCUUAUCUCCUUUUACUGUACACGGGCUUAUGUUUGAACAUAUACAUAGGAAUAGUGAUGCCAAACCUUUAUGGAGAAGAGAGGUUAUCUCCUUUUAAGGCUUAACCUUUAUCAUUUUUAUGCUUUGUAGACAAAUUAUGAGACUUUUGAGCUACAGAAUCAGCAUAGUUUACUCUUGGAGGAACUAGAAUCUGGAUGUUCAGAGCUCUGCAGUCUUGACAGUGAACUGGAGUUGUUGAAGAUGGCUGCAGAGAGGUUAUUGGAUGAUAAACAGCCGGGUGGGUCAUGUCUCGAGCAGCUUAAUCAACAAAUAGUGGUCAAAAAGUGUAAUAUCAUGGAUCUUAAAAAGCAAUGGUAUGAAUAACGAUUGUUCUAUAAUUUUUCAGUUGAAAGCAUUCAUGCAUUCAAUUUCAUGGACAACACAGGAUAUGAUAACCUGGAAUAUAUAUAUAUAUAUACAACCCGUGUUUAGCAUUACGAAUAUCACGAUUAUGUAGUAUAUCAUGUCUUCCUCCAGGGAAGAUGCGAGGCAGACUUUGGAAGCAAGAAAGCUACGUCUUUUGGACCAGCUUCAUGUGGAGGAGUCAGAGGCUAAAGCGAAAUUCCAUAAGCUGAAAAAGACUGAACUGGAAUUACAAUCUGUCUCAUCAGAAAUUCAAAAGAGGUAAGCAGAGAACUCCUACCACAUGACCCUUCAUUGUCUAUUUUGGAAAUUAGAGAUGUAUAUACUUCUUAAGUUCAUUUGUUGAGUAAUAACUGUGGGACGAAUAAUAAAAAUCUAUAAGAAGGAAAAAGAAAUAAACAAGUGUUUGCAGGUCACCUCGAACAGGGUAUUUCAUUGACUCUCGUAUCAUAUUAAUGUGUUAAUUUUUUUUUCCGACAGGGAAGAUGAAAGAUGUAGCCUGUACACUGAACUUGAGAGGCAGCCAAAAGCAGCGCCGCGGAAGUCUUAUAUACAUGGGAUUAAAGAAAUAACAAAAAAUAGCCGUAAACUGGACAGUGAUAUUCAGAGGAUUUCAGGGGAGACGAGGGAGCUACAACUAGAGAGUAACUCAAUCCAAGAACGCCUGCACCGAUCAUAUGCUGUUGUAGAUGAAAUGGUUACAAGGUAUGAAUUUUUGCAUUGUCUGGUCAAAAUCGUCCGAUAUGCACCAAAAGACAAGGUGCCAUGUCGCUCUGCUUUAGAGAACAUGUAUUUCCCGUUGUACGUACUGAGCUGAUGAGGAUGGUUUUUCUUUUUUUUUUCCUGGCAGGGAAGUGAAAAAGGAUCCAGCCGUACGACAGGUCUACAAGCUUGUGACCAGUAUCCAUGGUAUUUUUGAGCAAAUUUCUGAAAAAAUCCUUAUGACUGAUCGGUUAAGAAGAGAAACAGUCGACUACGAGAAAAAGCUGGGCUCCAUCACAGCUCGGGGCAUGAAUCUGGAGAAUUUACAAGCAGAUCUCCAUGCCAUCAGAAAAGAGAACGAAAGUCUUGGGAAAUAACUAAUUCAAUGUGGUUUUGAAAUUACUAAAAGAUGUACAUUUUAUAGAGUUUUUGAGGCAGUGUUUGUUUAUAGAGUGAGUAAUCUUUUUUCUCGCAUACUAAUGACUAAACAGAAGCAAAGGCUUAGUCAUAUAUGAUAUUCCAUAUGAUUGGGAAUAUCAGGCAAAACUAUUCCACAGGGGAAUACAGACAAAAGAGACAUCAUCAGUUUCACAAAAACUAUUCCAUAGGGAUCUUCUUCCUAAGCAUUCAUUCUUCAUGUAUUGUUUGGAUGGUCUCACACCAAAAAAUCAGGCAAAACAAUUUCUACUUUGAAGCACAUCUUCUUCCCUCCCCUCUUGUAAUUGUCAACCUAAAUUCCACUGGGAUGAUAUUUCCUAAGUAUUUACACCCAAAAAUCCAGACUUUAACACCUCUUUUACACGUUUGAUGUGUAUCUUUAUAGCUUCUUCCCACCGGCCUACUAGUUGUUGACCCGGUUCGUUACAGCAACUUGAGGAUAAGCAAUGUGUGAGUGUCCUAUGGGUUCAGCCAUAGCCAUUGUGGUGUGUGGCGGUGGCGUUACUGUCUGAUAUGUAGUUGGCUGAACGGCCAUGGAGUGCGAUGGUUGGUGUACUCCCAUGAGCCCAUUAUGACCAGCCUGCACGACUGGGAAACCAAGUGGCUGACCUUGCAGGGCUAGGUUGUACAUUGGAUUCACCUGCAGGUUGCCAAGUCCCUGCCCAAUCCACGCAGCUGCACUUUCAGUCUGCAACAACAAUAUCAUGAUUACCAAUUAGUGUUAAUAAUACUCACCAACUACAUCAAUGCAAAGAUAAAACAGAAAACAAACAAAAAAACUGACCAUUGGUGGUGAAGUCUGUUCUUCACUAUGGAUAGAGUUGAAGGCGGUUGCAGAUGGGAUGUGAGUAGCAACUGUGGAAGAGGCAUGUGGGGAUGGGUUUGUGGUAGGAGGGUUCUCAGUGUCGCCUACUGGUGGUAUAUGGGUAGGUGCUGCUAGAGCAGCUCCUGGUGGAAAAUAAGACUGCUGAGGAAUCCCAUUUGGGCUCAAGAACUGGUGAAUGUAUGGCGGUGGCAUAUAAAACGGUGAGUAAUAAGGACCAUAAGGGAAGAAACUGGGAGGGUAUUGUUGCCUAAAAAGAUGAGUCGCCUGCUGAGAGGCUGCUGCUAUGGAGCACUGAUCUGGCGGAUAUGAUACUAAUGAUAUAGCUGGAGCAUUCGAAUUUCCAGGCUGCAAUUUGAUAAAGCAGUUAUCAGGAAAAUCUGAAACAGAUAUUGUUUUGAGUGCAUACAUAUUGACAAGAUAUACCACAUGCCUGAGUCUCUGCGGCUUCCGUAUUUACGGGUUGGCCUAUUGCUGACAACGAAGGAACAAGACCAUACACACUGAAUGGGGCUUGGCCAUACGCAAUUUGAUGAGUUUGUGUGUUCGAUAAAACUUCCCCCUUCAGUUCAUCUUCGACAGAUGCGACAAUAUUAUCUGAGCGCCGCACUAGCUCAGCUCCAGGAGCCGAACUUGAAAUCCUAUGAUCCUUAACUUCAAAAAAAGAUAAUGCUCCUUCUCUGCACAAAAAGUAUUGGUAAUGAGCAUGGAAAUCAUAUCUGAACAAUCUCACUCCACUGAGAAUAGCGAUUGCAGUAGAUCAUAACUAAAGAAGAGAACGUGUAGAGUCAAAGUAUUUCAGUCACCAACCUGGCAGAAGCAACCCCAGGAAUACCAUUGGUAGUGGGAGAAGAAUCUCCCUCAUCAUCCCCUGUCCCAUGAGAAGACUCAAAAGUUGAGUCAUCACCGCCACUAGCACCAUUGUUAGAAGAUGCCUCUUUCACAAGAUUAGAAUCAAAACUGCCAAACGUCAGACCAUUUUGCAGUACUUCGGCAACCUGAAGGUGGAAUGGAAAUGUUACAUGAGACCGUUUGCCAACAUCUGACUUGAGAAGCGAUUGAGCUUUGCCUUUAUUAGAUGCAGUCUCAUUUUCGGUGGCUGUCAAAAAGAGAAACAGAGGCUGAAUCAAAUAACAAACCACAUUUGCUGCACCAUUAGUGACUUAACAAGAUGACAAGAGAAUGAAAUUAAAGCUACGUCGAUGCAUACUAAAAAUUCAAGAAUAAAAAGGCCGAGAUACCUUGAUCUGCCUGGCUACUGCAAUGAGACGCAGAUAUCAAAGACGGAUCCUGAAGACCGAGUGUAGAUGAUUGCAACUCUGCUGGCUGGUUGUUCAUAACAGGUUGUGAGAUCUGAGCAGAAGUUGCAUCUUGCAUAUGGUUUUGUACAACAGAAACUGAGACAGGUGCAGCAACUGAUUCUGAAAUUGCUCUAGACGUCUCUGGUUCAACUUCAUCCACGGAGGAAGAAGUCGACUUGGAAGCACGAUUUUUCUCUGCAAGUCCCUUGUUCACAGUUGCAGUGAAAUAAUCCUGAGCUUUAUGAUUGCUUAACCCCCUAAAAGGUAUCCUUUAAUCGUGAACAACUUUAUAGGAUUAAAAAGAAAAAAAAAAAAGCUCCCAGAGCUGAAAAGAAUCACACACAGCUGAUAAGUAAAAAUUACUUUUUUCCACGAGGUACUGCGAGAUUUCUUGCUUUGUUAGUGGCAGGAAGAGAAACUCUAGGACCUCCUGAUACAUGGUUAGCUCCAAUCUCCCUUUUAUAAGAUGCACUUCUUCCAUUACUUGCAUCUGCAUAUCAACAAAGAGCUAAGAACAGGGAAGAGGAAGAAAACUACACUUGUCACUCAACGGUACCAGUAAAGGAAACAAAAAAAACUACCUUGAUGAGUGUUACUUGAAGCAACGUUCCUCCGGCCACUUAGGUCACUUCCUUGGGUAAUUGGCGCUAGAUUCUGCAACAGAAAAUAGACAGUAAUCAUAUGAGAUGGUGAAAAGCUAUAAGAGCAAGUGAUGGACCAGGAUUGCAAAGUGAAUCUACAGAUCAUGCACCUGAUAAAUCUAUAAGAAUAAAUUAAAAAAACCAAAUAAGGGGUUCAUAACAAACAAAAAAAAGAAACACUUGCCUCCUUCUUUUUCUCCCUUUUACUUUUCACCUCAUGAAAUGUAUCUGCAAUAUUUCAAAAAUGAUUGAGGUACAUUAGAACAAACAAAAGCGCCACGAAAACCAAAGUACAAAAAGCAACAGUUUUGAUGAGCAAAAUGAGAAGACAAUUUUGAAAAAUGCUGACAUAUAGAAACAGAAGAAAUGAUCCAUACUCAGAUGCCGACUAGAAUCAUACUAGUACGAACUCUAAACAGUACUAAAAAAAACAAAGAUUCCAAAUUCGAAUAGUUCCAGGCACCAAAGAGACACUUAUCCCAUGAUCUUCCGAAACAGAACAAAAAAAAAAUCAACAAACCCUAUCGGACAGACGAAAUCGAUGAAAUGCAAAAGAAAAAACCAAACCGCAGAGGCCCAUUCCAUUAAACAAAAUACAUACAACAAAAGAGGAAACCCUAAAGGAGCAGUACCUAAAAAGAGGAGCUUCUGGGCGGUCUCGUGAGGAUCAUUGAAGGAUUCCUUAUAGACGGCGAAGAUAUCCUCGUCGGAGUGCUGCUUGCCGGUAAUCUCUCUGAUACUCUGAAGGGUUUUGCGGAGAUGGUGCGGAAUCGAAACCCUAGAGGAGCCGCCAUCGGCGAAGCUGUUCAUGGUGUGUAAUGGGGAAAGAGAAGCGGGAGGAGAGAGAAGCAAAACCAAACCAAAAAAAGAAGACAACAAUUGAAAUUGAAAUUGAAAUUGAAAUUAGGACUUGCUUUGAAAUUACAAUAACAAUUCACAGAGAGUGUAAUUUCUUUCUUAUAUAACUCUCAUUGUCGGUAACUUUAUACGCUGACGUCACUUCACAACACUUCUUUUAGACUCACGCGCCGUAAAUUUAAAGUUUUGUUUUUUAACCCUAGAGUAGGCGAUUUAGCAAGAUUUUUUUUCUAUUUCGCCCAAAAAAAAGAGCAAGAUUUUUAAUUUACAACAUUCACACCAUUCACAACAUUCACAUGAAUGGUCUAAGUCUAAGGUUACUCAACUUCUUCUCCCAAAAUUACAUUGCAGCAAGAAUGCCAUCAUCGUCUAAGUCUCUUGCUUGCUCUGGAAAGUAGCGGUAAGAACUUGGCGAGUCUUCUCUUUGCACAACUCAUCAACUCCUGACAUUCAAGGUACUCCAUGGUGACUCGAUUAUACCAGCACAAAGGGCAGUGAAAGUUGCCGUCUUCAUCAAGGUUAACCGGGGAAUUCAAGCAUUCCCUGUGAACUCUAGCUGCACACUCGCUUCUGCAACAUAUCAACAAAGUUCCUUCUUUUUCACAUUUCCAGCAUACAUUCUCAGCUCGACCUCUAACCAUAUCUGACUCUUCAUCGCUCCCACUGAUUAGCCACGUCCCAUCUUUUGUACAUUUUACACGUGUAUCCUCUAGCCUCAUUCUUUUACAACUUAGAGGAAAUGUCCCGCCAGUAUCGAUCGCAUUUUCUUCAUCUUUCUCGUUUGUCUGCAUUGGAUCAUCCUUAUCAUCGAUCAAGAUUGCUUUACCCUUGUCGUUUAUAUUCGUCUGCUCCAAACCAAUUUGCACUUGCUGCUCAUCUACCGGCUUCUCCUCACAUACAUCCGUGUGCAAUGUUCCAUCAUCUCUAACAAGUGGGUCAUUUGCUUCCAUGGGAGGAGCUGCACUUGUCUGAUUCUCCAUUAAACUCACAUCUCUCAGCUACAAGAUCCAAACGAAAAAGAGAGAGAUUUGUGCAUCGUUGUUUCAAUAUAGUUUUGAAAAGGAAAAGCAUGAAACAAAGGAAAGGUGAGGUAUAAGAGAGUUUUACCUUCUCCAGUGCACAUUGUGGCAAAGACAUGUUCUUGUGAGCAAUAAAUGGAAGAACAUUGAACUUUGAUAGCUCCGGCAUUCCCGUUCGUAAGCUUGAUAUUGGAAUCUCAACAUUUGGGAAACAAACUACUAAGAUUAGAAACUAAUAGAUUCCUCUAAUUCUACUACUGCUAAUAGAUCAAGUUAGUUUACGGUUUUGCUCAUACAUCUUCACAAAUGGCUUUGAGAACAUCGGUGUUGCUCAAAGAUAAAUCGAACUCAACUCUUGACUCAGCGACACCGACGCCCGUAGCAUCAUCACUCUUGCUUGGAUCAAACAUGAACUCCAAGAUUCUAAGAGACAGGAGUUCAUUAAUCCUCCUCCCAUAGUCAUUUGUGCAGGGAUAACCCAUGUUCAUCAAAUCUGAAGCAACAGAGAUUUUCUGUUAACAUACACAAAAACGGUCCAUAUGUAAAAGAGGGGACUUUCCAAAUCUAAAAGUUACCGAGUAUGCAGCGUAGAUCCUUGACGAAUUUGGCUACAUAUUCGAUACACCAAAACCAUUCAGCGAUUUGAGGGGGUAGAGAUGAAUAUUCAUCAAUCAGAUCCUCAAGACUCAAAUCAGAAGCUCCAGCGUCAUCACUCUCUUUCUUCUUCUUCUUCUUCUUCUUCUUCUUCUUCUUCUUUCUUCCGUCCUCUUUCCAUUUCCCACCACCCCAUUCGUACAACGGGUCAAUCCACGGUGGCAGUAACCUGCCUCCUCCGGAAGUUACCGUUUCUUUGUCUGAAACUCUACUUUCGAGUCCUUCGGGAUUCAAAGGAGGAGGAAACUCCCAAUCGCCCAAAAUCUGUGUACUCUCUGUGUCCGAAUCCUUCUCCAUUCGGAAAUGGCGCACUGUAAACAAAACAAAAAGAAAGACUUUACGCUUACUUUUGAUUUGUAGGAUUAGACAACUUAGAGACACGUUAAUACUGAUUCCAGAAAACCUAAAUGGCUAAACCCUUUUCCUCUAAAACCCUCAAUUCCAAGUUUUCAACAUCACAAUCCCACUAAAGACAAGCCUAGAGCUCCGAUGCACUAGAUUUAAAUUCACUGAUGCGAAAACGCUAUCGAACAUACUAUAGAGACAGCGACAGAGAAAAUGUAAAGUAUUUGAAGAAAGCAAAAAGGGAAUCACCAAUAGGCUUAAAGCAGCGAGGAAGACGAAUUCGAGGAACCCUAAUAGCGAAUUUGUGUGCAAGCUUUCAGAUUUUAAACAGAAGAACAAAAGCCCAGAAACAGAGAGAAAGAGUAUUUAGUCACCAAUAUUUGUUGAUUCGCAAAUCUCCCGCCUCGAAUUCGAAAAUUCGAACUCGACCUUCUUCUUCGGUCACACCAUCCCGAGUCGAUUGCUUAAAGACUAAAGAAGAAAAGAUAACUGUAUUUGGGCCGUAUAGUGCCCUUAAAUAACUGAUCCACACCGUUGAAAUUCCUGCAUAAUAUCGCAACCGUCAAAUUAUAUUUAACUUUUUUAAAAAGGCAUACUAACUAAAAAAUGACAUCACAAUAACUUGGGCCUGCGCCAUUAAUGUGGGUCCAUUCUCAUGACUGAUCUCAACGGUUGAAAUGAAAAUGAUUUAAACAAAAAUGCUGCGUUACAAGUUAAUCAGAUGAUUCAGAUCAUCAUUUUCUAAAAACUGUAGUUAUAACAACAGUUCUUACUCUCAACCAAUCAGACCACAUGUUUAAGAAUUCUACAAAACCCUCUCACCGAGGUAGAAGCUUCUUCUUAAACUCAGUCAACAACAAUUUGUUCCGGUAUACAAAUAAAUAAAUGUGUGUAGGAAUCCAUGCGAUCGUAAAAUCCGUAUAACAGCUCAAACCAAAAUCAUCAAGAAUUCCAAAAUUUUCAACUCAAGAUUCUGAGUUAACAAGGAAGGCUUGUUGUUGCUUGCUCACUCAUCAUCCGUGCCAAAAUAGCGGUCUCCAAACUCGCCCAUGCCAGGAACGACUCGGAACUCAUCGUUUAAACCGAGUUCUAUCUCAGAAGUCACAAUCUUUAUCCUCGGGAACCUUUUGCACACCACAUUUACUCCUUGAGGUGCCUGAAGAAACAGAACCAGACUUGUUGUAAGCUUCUUAGCCUAUCGAGAGAAGAAGCGAGGUUUCAGUUUAUGUUUUGGUUUUCAACUUACAGAAAUGAGAUUGAGAAAGAUGAUGUUGGUUUCAGGUACGCCUUUGCUUAUGAGCAGUCUUAUAGCUUGCACGGCCGAGUUUCCUAUACACACACAAAAUACGAUCUUGUUCAUAUCUUGUCUUUAUACAAAGAGUAAGACCGGACUCUUGGCAGAACAAUAAAAAGCAGACCUGUCCCGAGGAUUGGGUCCAGCAAAAGAACGUGUCUUUCCGAAAUGUCUGAGGGUAGCUUCUCGUAGAUAAGCUGCCGGUUGCCAUUUGUUCAGAGACAUAUUUUGCCAGGAAGCAGUUAGGACAAAGUGAUGAUGAACAGGCAAAAGAACACAAACCUGCUGACCGUUGUCGCCUUCUCUGUGGAUCAGAAUCUUCCCAAUCUUGAUGCCUUUGCAGCAUGCUCUUAGAGCAUUCUCCAUACUCUCACCGCUGUUUAUCAACAGUUUCGAAGACGAAAUCAUUUUAUCUGGUCUUUGAUAAUUACUAUCUGUCUGUGUUGAGUAUUUGUGGGUGUUUUUUUACCUUCUGAUAACCGAGACACCACACAGCCUCUUACAGAAGUCCACACCCGAAUACACAGAUCCUAAAAUUACAGAAAACAAAAGAAAAAACAAUUUUAACAAUUGGAGAUUUCUGCUGCACAAGAUAUAAGAGCAUCUCCAAUGUAUGACUGCAUAUUUUUCUUUAUUUUGGAGUAACUCCAAAAUGGAGUUGGGUUUAAACUCCAUUUUUUACUCCAUUUUGGAGUUAGAAUUGGAGUAGGGUUGGAGAUAAUCUUGCUGCAAAUUCUAUUUUGCAGUAAAAUUUGGAGUAGGGUUGGAGAUGGUCUAAGUGUUUCAUUAGCUUACCUGUGGGAGUGACCACUUGCUUUUCUGCGAAGGGAAGGUGCCCGAGGCCGUGCUCAACGACCUGGCGCAAAGACAUUAUUAGGACCAACUUAGUAAAAAAAAAAUAACACGAAACAGAAAUCUAAUUUUGCCACCCACCAAACGAAUCAACCGAUCCGAGUAGAAGAUGAAGUCAUGCUUUGUUGUUUUAGAGUCUCUGAUUAGAGUGUGCAUCCCUCGUAUCUGCAAUCAAUGGCUAAAAGGAUCAGUCACUAAACAAGAAAAACGAUUGAUUGCCGUUGGUUAGACGAGAAAGGGAGGGAAUUAAGAAAAAACCUGAAAAGUGGACUGAAUGACAUAAAGAUUUGGAUAUAUUUUACAGAGAUCAUGUUGACCGAGCUUCGUGUGGAUGUGUUGCACGAUCAAAUCAAUAGCAACAUGGUUGUCACCACCACGGGGAAUUAUUAUAUCUGCGUAUUUCUUUGUUGGGAGUAUGAAAUCCUCAAACGCUGGCUUCACAAACUUUGAGUACUGUUUCAGAGUAACCCAAAACAAAACAUACAAACAAGAGUCAGCUUGACGUUGCUGUGACAAUAUUGAAGAGACUCUUUGCAGAGACGGUAACCUGGUCAAGAACAGUCGCGAUAUCUCUGGCCUUCUCAACAGUAUCGCGUUUAAUCCUUCUUGCUAAACGCACAUCGGCAUCUACAUAUAUAGAUAACGCCAAUUAUAUAACCAACAUGAGUAUAUACUAUAUACACUUGUUACAUGCAAUGCACAAGUACUCUAGAGUCUCUGCACAUAUGCUACGGAUUGGCUAGAUAUGUGUAAACAGUUUCGACGUGGGAAAGACCUGCAUCUACAAAUAUCUUCAUGUUCAUCAAAUCUCUCACACGAGGGUCAUGGAAAAUGAGUAUCCCUUCAAGGAUUAUAACAUCAGAAGGAUUUACCUGCGAAUAAUAUCAUUAAUAAAGAGAGUUAUUAGAAUAUCAUUAAUUCUUAAAAAGUGAAGCGUUCUGAAAAGAAAAAGCGCAUAUAGAUAGUAACGAAUACACAAGAGAGCUUAUCACUCCAACAUGAGUUCAAUCUCCAGAGAAGAGAUGCAAACUCCAAAUAGUCAGAACCAAGUGACCAUUCGACGACGAUAAAGUAAAGAUGCUAAUUAAGAGGCUCCCUUACCCUUCUAGGUGGAAAAACAUUGUUCUUGUAACUUUUGAAGUCAUAGUUGGGGAUAUCUACAGCUUGUCCUUUUCUUAACUUGUCCAUGGAACACAAUAAUUGCUCGGUAUCGAAAGCGUCUACGAGACAGGGAUCAAACUUCAUAUUUACAAGCAAGCAUAUGAUAGAUAAUUUUGGAGACUCAAAAGGCUAUAUAAGCGACACAGAACAGUCGGUAUUAGAUUUAGAGACUUGCUAACCAGGAUGGUCAAAAUUGUAAUCAUGAACUCUUGCAAGCUCCUCUUCAUUUACAUUAUGGUAGAAAGAAUCCUGCAAAUUGAUAAGAUCGAUCAAGCUCAAUGUAUUACAUAUAUGACCUACUACAACCACUUGUGAUCUCUUAUCAGAAGUAAAAACCCGUAAAUCAACAUUUAUUCAGAAUUUUCGAGUACAAGCACCUGAUUGACAACAACGGCUCUCUGAUCAUGCAGUUGCUGCAUAAUCAGAUCGCAGACAGUUGUCUUCCCGGAUGCUGCUCCUCCAGCAACUCCUGAAAACAACACAAAAAUCAAUAAGAAUCCACAUCCUAUUCACAUUUUUUCUGAUUCUAACUAUCCUCAGCUGGAGGUAAGAUAAAAUCAGCAGCAUCUCUCACCGAUAACAAAAGGUUGCCCAUGUUCGUCUUCAUCUUCAGCAGUAGCCAUUUGGUCUGACCUAGUUGAAUCUAAACCAUCCGUUUGAUGAAAUCCUGAGAAAUGAACCUUUGUGGAAGUUUCUAUCAUAUCAACAGUCGAUUUUGAAGCCAUUCCUACAUCCAAAAAUAAAAAGCCAAACAUAGAUACGUUUUAAAAUCACAUGGAAACGCCAAUAAGGAAUACAGAAGCUAUCACCUUUUGUUUGUCACCAUCUAGGAGUAAAGGAAGAACAAAAAGGACUCCUGCUUUUUUUGCUUUCAGUAAAAAAAAAAUUCCUUUCUUUUUAAAAAAAAAAAGAAGAAGAAAUAUCCAACUUUUGUAGUCAUUUAGAUUCCACAAGUGCCAAUGCCGUGAUACCCAUUUCCUCAAAUCCCGUUGAAAACACAAACCAAGCAACAAAAAGGACACUUGAAACGCGUUAGCACGAAUCAAAUCAACCAGAUUCAUCUUAAAAAUGUAACGCCGAUCCUAAACGGAAAACGCGAUCAUUUCCCGGGGAAAAGAAAGAUUAUGACGGAGAGCAAACAGAGAAGAAAGACAGAGAUAGAUAGAUCAAAUCCAUGCAGAAAAUGAAAACCCAGAACCAGAAGAAACGUUCAUUGAUGGAUCAUCGAAAUCAAUAACCGAACAUUCACAAGAAGAAGAAGAAAAGAAACUCACGAAAUUUAAAAAAAAAAAGGGAUUGAAUUAGCUUCCAGAUCACCGAUGAGCUACACAAAAGCUUCCAGUUUCAGAUAAAGAAUCCAACAUAGAUAGAGAGACACGCACGAGCAUUGCCUGUUAAACUCGAUGCACAGACAUAAACUGAGUUUUAUACAUAUAGUAACGUAUAUAUAUAUAUAUAUGUGUGCGGUGAAAGAGGAAGGGAGGAUGCAGCGGCGGAGACGGGUUAUUUACGAAAACCGGGAAGUGGUUUCUAGCUAUUGACGAUACUACCCUUCCCAAUGCAAUGUAUGUAACUGUCGAAUAAUGUGUUUUCGUUACUAUAAAAUAUUACUUAUAAUAUAUUUAUAUUUAUUUUGUUACCAAAGAAGAACUAUUUUUGGAUCGCAUCUGCAAUAUAUUUUCGUUUUUUCCAUUUCUAUUCAUUUUCAUAUACGUAACCUCCUACGUUUCCAAAUUUUCGCAAAUGCCUGAUUAGCUCUGAAUAUUUUAACCAUAUAAAAACAUCAUUUCAUCAUUUAUAGGCAUUUUUCAAAUCGGUGUAUAGUUUAAGGUAAUUUAUUUCUCACAUACAGUCUUGGGGGUUAUUUUUGGGCCUUGGGGGUUGCCGAUCGAAAAAUAGGGGGGUGAAAUUUUGGUAUUUCGAUUCUUUGGAUCCUCUUUUGUAAUAUUCUCAGAAAUGAGAGGUGUUGUUAUUAUAUUGGUAAAUUGGUAGGCGUUAACACGCAAUAACGCCUUUUAGGGAUAAGAAAAGUAAGCCAAUAACGACGACGUUUCUUGGGGUUUCGAGGAUCCAACUCUCACGGGUACAGUGGUGGUCAUGUUUUCGUCUUCAACUAGGUUAAUCGUAUCGGGUUUUCACCGGACUCGAACCCUAAAAUCGCCGGUAAAUCCUCCGAGACUCUUACUAUCCGUGCCUAGAUUCUUCCAUUCCGAGUCGAAAUCGAGCGACAGGAGAAUCGGGAUGAGCAGCGUAGAGAAAACCGGGUCGGAAUCGGGGGCAAUCGAGAAUCGGGCGAGCAGGAUGAGGGAGAAGCUGCAGAAGGAGCUCGAACCGGUGGAGUUGGUAAUCGAGGAUGUGUCGUAUCAGCACGCCGGUCACGCCGGUAUGAAAGGUAGAACCGACGAAGAGACGCAUUUCAACGUGAAGAUCGUCUCAGAGGGAUUCCAAGGAAUGAAUCUGGUGAAGAGGCACAGGCUAGUCUACGAUUUGCUCCGGGAAGAGCUCGAUAGUGGAUUACACGCGCUUUCCAUCGUGUCCAAGACGCCGUCCGAGUCCAAUCGUUAGGACAAGGUCUAUGAAGAGUUUUGUGUAAAAACUCUCCCUUUAUCAUUGAUGUUUUCCGAACCCAAUUCAAAGGCUCUGCUUUGGAUUUGGAUUUGAUUGCGUUUCGUGUUUCCGGAACCCACAACCAAAUUCUUCAUCUUUACAUACGUUUGAGGGUGUUGAUGUUUCUUAUGCUUUACUUUCAGUCUUUUCUCGAGAUUUGGCGAAUUCUCAAGAGAAUUUAGCACCAAUGUACAUUAGGAAAUGUAACACUUUCAUUCUUGAAACGGUUCUUGGUAAAGGGAGGCAAAAAAAUUGUUAGUGAAAAAACUGCAGGGAAAUUGAUAGUGAAGAAGAAAGAAUAUUGGAUCAUGAUUAUGUAAACUAAACGGUAUCAAGAUGGUUUUUUUUUAUAAUGGAAUCUUCUGUUACCACAGAAAGUCAGAAACUAUAGUCUAUAGACUUAUGAAACGUUAAGCUAGCUCCGAUUUAGGUUAGGUAGCCUUUGAAUUGAAACACAUUCAUGUCAUGUGUUCUCUUCCAUGCUACAGCAUGUUUUUCAAAACGCUAGAAACAGUACGCUCUUUUUUUCAAUCAUUAUUACUCGAGACCUGUCUAUGGGCGUAGAUGUUCCUUUUCUUGCAAGUUGCAACAAAGAUUAUGCUAUUACUUGCUCUAUGGAUGUAAACCAAAAACCAAUUAGUGAAGGCCUGUUGGGUUUCGUUUUGUGAUGUAAACCGAAUCGUCAUUUCUAUUUUUGAUAGGAAACUGAAUCGUCCCUCUUCUUUAGUUUAGCUCUAACAGUAACGUUACUUGCUACAUUUUGAAACUCAAAAAUAAAAUAAACCCAGAAAAAAAAAACACUGUCCUCCAAAGUAUCCCUCCAAUGGCGACGACGGUGCUUGACCUCUCGAAGUUUAUCAGAGACGAUAAUGAUGAUGAUGAAGUAUGGGUCACACACUAUUCAUCAAACCAGCAAAUACUUCUCGUCGGUGAAGGAGAUUUCUCAUUCUCCUGCUGCUUAGCCACUCGCUUCGGCUCUGCUUCCAAUAUCUGCGCUUCCUCUCUCGAUUCAUACGGUAACAUUUCCUUUGCACUCUUUCUUAGAGUUUCUAGGGUUUUGAUUUUCUUUUUCUCGUGAAUUUUCUAUGGCGAGAGUUUAGGUUUUUUUUUAAUCUGUGGGUUGAAUCGAAAUCAAUUUCUAGGGUAAACAGCUACUUAUCGUGGAGCUUAUUGGUUUCAAGUAUUGCAUUGUUCUGUUUACAUAUAGCUUAUAAACCUGGUAAAAAGGUUUUGGCUUUAUUAACUCUGAUCUCUUGUGCUGUUUCAUGUCUCGUCUCGUCUCCUAUGGUAAUUGUACGUAGCAGAUGAUGUGGUUAGGAAGUACAAGAAGGCAAGAUCAAACCUUGAAACUUUGAAGAGGCUUGGAGCAAUCCUUUUACAUGGAGUUGAUGCGACCAAACUGCAAUUCCAUCGUCAUCUUCAUUUCAGAAGAUUUGACCGAGUCAUCUUCAACUUCCCGCACGCCGGUUUCCACAGCAAAGAGUCCGAUCCCUGUCAAAUACAGUGAGUGUCAUGUUUUUCUUCUUUUGACUCAAAUUGUAGACUUUAGGGAAUUUUUUUAAAAAGAUUAUCACAUUAUCUUUGCCUGUGUGUUGUGUAGGAAGCAUAGGAAACUAGUGUUUGGAUUUUUCCAUGGUGCAAGCCAUAUGCUAAGGGCUAAUGGCCAAAUACAUGUCUCUCACAAGAACAAUGCACCUUUUUGUCACUGGGAGCUCGAAGAACUCGCUAGCAGAUGCUCUCUUGCGUUGAUUCAUUGUGUGGCAUUCGACAAGUGCAAUUACCCUGGUUAUGAGAAUAAGAGAGGAGAUGGAUCCAGAUGUGACCAACCUUUCCCUUUGGGAGAGUGCAGUACUUUCAAGUUCAGAGUCUCUAGCGUGGCUAAGGAGCUUUAUGCAGAGAAGGUGAAAUGGAGACGAGCAAAGGAACGAGAAUCAAAGUUUCCCCAAGCCUCAUCUGAUCCUUUGUAUCCCCUCCAUACACAAUUUCAAGGUGUUAGCCAAAGACCUGUUUCAUUGGAUGUCAGCUAUCACCACCAGGACCAUAAUAAGCUUAGGCAACUCCAAGAUCCUUAUGAAGAUGCUAGCUUUAUUCAAAGAUCAGCGUCGUUUGCUCUGGAAAGAAACCAUGCCCGGUUUCAGGACACUCUCAGAUACACUGAAAGAAGCAGCUUCCAAUAUCAUGACUUUCCUUUUCUAAUUAGUCAUCAUCAUCAUCAAGAACGAUUCCUUGAAUGCUCUAGCCGCUUCAAUGAGGUUAUUUAUAACAGGGAAGGACAACGAAUGUUGACAAGGACGAGCUUUCUUCAUCCGUACAAUGGAGAAUCACCAGAAAGACAACGCCUGCUUCGUCAAGACUUUCCGGUUCAAGCUAGUCAAGAACCGUACUUUGAACGCUCUUACCGCUUCAAUGAAGUUUAUAACUGGGAUGGACGAAGGAUGUUAACACGUACCAGCACAAGAACAAAGCUUGACUAGGCAGAGCGACCUCAACAUUUACACUCCACAACACUGGUAAAAAUCAUUAUUCUCUGUGUAUAUUAUGAAAUCGAAAGCUAAGUCGAUAUGAAAAGUUUUCCAGGUGAGUGAUCUUCAAAGAAGUUGUCAUGAUAACUUUGAUGGAAACAAGGUGACUGAAGCUUGGACUUGGUAACAAAUCUUUAAGAAUUGCAGUUGGCUAACUAUAUUUUGACAGCUAAAAACCACGAUGAUCUCAGUUAUGUAGAUGAUAAUUAAGGGUAAUUUUUUGUGUAUGUAUUUAGUUUUUGGAGAAUGUGCGUGGUAGAAGUGGUUGUGAGUCUUGCAAAUUAAACGGUCUCUCUUGAUAUCUCCACUCUAAGACACUACCUGGGCCAGAUAGUUUGGUACGACACGUUUUUGUUUGUGUUUUUACUUACUUUGCUAUCUGGUCAAACAGCUUAAUAUAUGAUUUUUAUUAUUCCGCGUAGACUAGUAUAAACUAUAAAGUAUAAACUUGACCUUAGCCGACAAGGCGAAGACGAUCACUAUCCGAGCGACAUAAACUCUAAUCAAAUCAAAUCAAAUUAUAUAAGCAAGUAAUUGAAUAAUGAAAGUGUCAGGGUAACUGCAAGGAAAUUGAUAGUGAGAAUAAAUAAGAAUAAUAAAAAUGCAACUGGUGACUUUCAAGGAAUUUGCUUAUAGAGUUACUACGAAUCAAAUCCAAUUUGCGUUUAAACUCUUAUACCUAUUAUAAUGAUUAACGACCAAUAGCAUAAAUUUCAUACUAAUUAAUAAAUUUUAGAGAAAUAUGUUAUAACCUUAAUUGAGAGUUUUGUCAAUACUAUAAGAUUGUUUAAAUUUAAUGCAAAUUCUAUAAAUUAUUCUAUGAUCUAAAACAGAUCAUCCAGAGAGAGAGAGAGAGAGAGAGAAUUUUCAUGUUAUUUUUUUUUCCAAAUUAGGAUUCUGGAUAUUUCUCAUUCAUUGCGUUUGACAAUUGCUCUCAGUAUAUAUAAUCAGUAGAUGAUAUGACAUUCAAAAAUCCCUAUAUCGAUCCGAGUAUUCACUAUAUUACAUUUAAAAUCUUGGUUUCUCUCCUUACUCAAAACCUCAUAUCGGAAUCUUCUCUCCGGCAGUAAGAUGAGGGUAAGUAAAGUGCAUUUUUUUGUUUUCCUCAUGUCUUCUCUGUGGUGAACCUACUUUCUUGCAAAACAUGGAAUAUAUGCAUAUAUUAUAUAUGUAGGCGAAUUUUGAAAAUAUUUGUUGAUGAGUUCUAUAAUUGGUUAUAUCAUCGUUUAUUUCUUCAGCAAAGGAUAGUUUUGAAGAUGGAUAUGAGUGAGAGUGAGAAAUCAAUGAAGAAAGCUAUGAAAAUCGCAUCUGGAACAUCUGGUUAACAUCUCUAUAUAUAUUUGACUUUUUUUUUUUGCAAAAACUUGCAAGCCAAGUUAGGUCAUGUGAAUCGUUUCAAGCAAGGUUUUGUUAAUUUAUACGUGCGUGUAGGUGUGAGAUCGGUCUCGAUUCAGGGACAGAACGAUCAGUUGGUUAUAUUGGGAGAAGGAAUUGACACGGCAGAGCUAACACGUGAGCUCCGGAAGAAAGUUUGUCACACGACCAUCGUCGCCGUUCAGGCCGCGCCGCCGCCGCCACCGCAGCAACAGCGACCACCGCAGCCGAAUCAUAUGGGACAUCAGAACGAGAUGGCUCCGGCGAGAAGAUGCAUAUGUGAGAUACCGAAUUCGGGUUUCUGCGGAUUUUGUAGAUCUAUGAGUGAAACCCCUUACCACCAGAUGAUAGCUCCGCCGUAUCCUCCUCCGGUGAACUAUGUUGGUUACCGUGAUGAUCCUGAUGGUUGCAGAAUCAUGUGAUGUGAAACUACUUCUGAGUGAUUUUUGUUUGUUCUUUUUUUUUUUCUAAUUUUUCUUAGUUUUCUGAUCACGUUAUUCUGUAGAUACAAAAUUUAAAAAUUCGUGGUGCUGUAAAUAUUAUGUGACAGACACUCUAGGAAAAACAGAUUUUUCACUAAACCCAACAAAACAAAAAAAAAAAGAGAGUGAAAUUUAAUGUUUCUUGAUCGAAGUUACACUCAAACUAUGUAAAUGUUCAACAACAAAAAAAAGUUACACUCAAACAAACUAAAUAAAAAAAAAAAUUAUAUGUGUGCUAACACUCGUUCAUCUUGGUCGUACUUUGUCACAUGUCAUCAAGUGAAAACUUCUGCGUCUUAAAAGCAAAUGUAGAGAAGAAAUCAAUUUCAAAUUCUUUUCAAAUAAAAUAUUAAGCUGUUUUUUCCUGUCUCAAGUUGUGCUUAUGUAUCUAUCUAUAAUGUAAUGAAGUCAAGUCCACUAUUAUAAACAAAAUUUAAGGACUUUGCUUUGGUGAAUGUCCAAAGACUAGUUCCUCGAAAUAUAUGUCAACAUUCCAAAGAAAAUUGGUUUAAUUCCCACAGAAGUAAAGUAAUUAUUAUUAUUAUUUUAGAAUACUAAAAAUAUUCCUUAAUCUUUACGUAUAUUCUCGGCCUCAAACGCGGGAAACGUGAUCGUGUCAAUUAGUCAAUAUCAAUUGUUUUUCUUCCAUUUUUGGUAACUCAAUAUCAAUAAUCAUUCAGUGCGGGAAAAUCUCAAAAGCUGAAAAAUAAAAUAACAAAAAGGCUCGAUUCUCAGUGUAAGAAACUUUAAGGAAACUACAGAAAGGAAGAGAAAUUGUAAAUGAUGAAACUUAAUUGUUUGCUGUAAAACAAAAACAAAAAAAAAGAAGAAGAAGAAGAAGAAGAAGAAACUGGAUUGAUUGAAAAGAUGCCGAAUUAAAACAGAAGAAUAUGUAUACUGCAUGAACUGAUAAAUAAAUAAUUAUACUACAAAAUACAAUCUUUAUUCUUUGACCUGAAGCAUUUGGUUUAGGUCUGGAUCAGAACUAGCAGCAUCUUAGCCCAUAUCCUCAUUCACGCGAAUAGGUCCAAUCAGCCGGUAGGCUCAUUUACCUAUCGGCCCAAUCGGUUGUUAUUUACUUAUUUGAUUUUCUGUUUUGCAGUUGCAAAUUUCCCGCCGAAUUUUAAAGGUAAAUUUUGUUUUCCAUUUUAAUACAAACAAAACUACUAAAAUUAGAAUUCUUCAACAACAAACAAAAACGAUAAACAAAAUUCGAUUUAUCGUUUUGGAGGUUUCAUAUUUAUCAAAUAUAAAAUCUUUCUUCAUCAACCACAUUCCUCAAAUCAAAACCCAAAAGAUGAAGCAAUUCGCCGGACUUCUCUUCCUCUGCAUCGUUCUUCUCUCCUCACUCGCCGGAAAUGCUGAUUCCGAUCUGAUUUCCGAUCUGUGCAAGAAAACCGACGACCCAAAACUCUGUCUCUCGAGCAUACAGUCGCGUCCCGAGUCCGGCGAGUUCGCAGCCACCAGCAACCAGAUCGAGAUCAUAGCUAUCUCCGCCGUGUCGGCAAACGCCUCCGCCACAUCCGCCUACAUCAAGGAAAAGCUCAGCCGCGAGGAUCUUGAGCCGGCCACGGAGGACACGCUCGAGGACUGUCAGAAGAACUACCAAGACGCCGUUGAGCAGCUCGACGACUCCAUCUCCGCCAUGAUCGCCGACGCACACGCCGACGUCGACGUCUGGCUAAACGCGGCGAUCAGCGCCGUAGAGUCAUGUGGGAACGCGUUGGAGUCACGCGCCGGGAACGAUGUGGAGCUUUCUCAGAGGAACGAGGUUUUUCUCAAGCUUUGCAAAAACGCUUUGGUGAUUAACAAGAUGUUAACUUGAGCAGAUUUAAUUUUAAUCUCCAAAAAUUUGAGAGAUUAAUAAUAUUUGGUUCUUCUUUUUUUUUCAACUUGUUGUUGCUAUGAUUAAGAUGAGUUCGUUUGCAUCAAAGAAAAACAUCAAGAGCAGAUUGUUUUAUUAUUGUUUCAUGAUCAAAUACAAUGUCAUUUUUUUGUCAACCAAAGAAAAACUAAAACCUAAAUUAGAAAUAGUGAACCCAAGCAUAAUAUUAUAUUUUAUUUAUUUUUAUUUCUAAUAAAUAUAUAUAUAUAUAUUAUUUAUUUGUUUUAUUUCUAAUAAAUAUAUAAUAGUGAACCUAAGCAUAAUAUUUAUUUGUCUUAUUUUCAGAAUUUUAAACUUUGAUCUCUGAAUUUUAAUUUUUAAAUCCAAAAUUCUAAUUUUUAUACUCUAAAUCAUAAUCUAUAAACCUUAAAAAAAUUAAAAUAAAAACUAAAUCGUAAAUUAGAAUCUUUAUAUAUAUUAUUUAUAUAUAUAUAUAUAUAUAUAUUUAACAAAAUCUUUGAUUGAAUAUUUAAUUUUUUAAUUUUAAUUUUUUAAUUUUCUUUAAAAAUAAUAUUACAUGGCAGAUUCUCAUUGGCUUAAAUGAAAGAGGGUGAAUGAAUGAAUUCACCCAUAGGGAUGAACCCAAAAAUUUUCCAUAAUUUUUUAAUUUUAAUUUUUUAAUUUUCUUUAAAGAUAAUAUUAUAUGACAGAUUCUUAUUGGCUUAAAUGAAAAAAGGUGAAUGAAUGAAUUCACCCCUAGGGGUGAACCCAAGAAUUUUCCUUGUUUUUAUUAUUGUUUCAUGAUCAAAUACAAUGUCAUUUUUUUUUGUCAACCAAUGAAAUACAUGUUUUGACAAGAAAAAAAAAAUACUUGUUACCAUUUUAAAACCCGACCCGAAUGGACACUGUCUAUUGGGCUUAAAUUGUGAAAGCCGCUAUUUGGUUUAUAAUCGGGUCCAUCUUAUAUUUCCAAUUGGUUUAAUUAGAUGAUAAUUUUGUCUGGAUAAACUUUUUUGAAAAAAUAUCCAUUUCGAUCAAAUGAACAAAUGAACAAUUCAGUUUCUAUCCAUUUAUUUGGUCUAAUUAAGAUGAAAUUGGAUCGAUUUGGUUUAUUUAAUUUAAACAUCCUUGCCUUCAAGUCUUCAACUAUAAAAUCUCAUGGACAGUAUGAUUAGGAGGUGUGGAAAAAAUGUGUAAAAGCAAAACAAAGGUGGAUAGUUGAAAUCCAAUAAAAACGGAACCAAUGGUGGAAACCUACUCGACCCAUCAUGAAAUUUUUCUAGUCAAAUUGUUUUACCAAACUCCAACUUCAUCGUUGACCUACCACAUUCAUAACGUAAUCAAUUAUUUUGAUCUAUCUAUAUUAAACCAAUAUUAAUAAACAACUGUUUUCUAACAAAAAAAAAGGUGCAUUAGGAUAAUCAAUUGUCAAGUUUUGAGAUACAUAUUCAGGAUUCAAGUCUGAUAUUUUUCGGAAAUAUACGGACACGAUCCAUUUGGACAUCAUUUCAAAGAGGUUGCUUGUAAGAUGGGGUGUUGGAUAGAUUCUAGAUUCAAUGUCCCACAAAUAGACAAAACACAGAUACCUUUCUUCUCCACCUGGAUAAAUUGUAUAUAUACACUUGUUCUACGCUUUAAUAUUUUAUUUCCCAAAAAAAAGUUAUUUUUUCUUGUUAUUCAUCACUCAAGAUGUAAUUCACAAUCACAUUAUUAUAAAGCUUACUAAAUAUACAGUGGGUGUAAGAAAGAAGCUUUAAUUUUAAAUACUAUUAUUAGAUAUAUACCUAUGUUCACAUAAUUCAAACAACUUGCACAUCAAAGAUGAGAUCAUAAGAGAAAACUUGCACUCUUGUAAAGUAAUUCAAGAUUCCACUAAGACCCCACCUUGUUGCAUUUCCUCUUAACAAUGAUAGAAUCUUGCUUUUUAUUUGCUUUUUUUUUCAAUUAUUUAUGGAUAAAACUAUAUUUUUAUCAACCAACUUGAUUAUACUUAAUAUUAGAAACAAUCUGGUUUUCAAGUAUAUGAUAUCCGAGAAAUUCUUGUAGUUUUUUAUAACCAAAAAAAAUCGAAACACGAUUGCAGUUAUAGUGGUUACUGGUUAGUUAAGGAUUUGAAUUUUACUGACCCCAGAAUCAAGUGUGGUGAAGGACAUGGAAGAAAAUAUAAAUAUGCAUAGAUUUUGAUUCGUUGAAUUUCGAAUAUGUGGGAAAUGGAUGGGAGAUUCAAGUUGAAGAAGACGAUGAAGUUUGGAAGUUGCAAAGGAGUGGGCAAAGGAACCAAGUUGACAUAGAAUGCACGCAAAUCUAUGCGAGUGCUGAAAAGAACACUUCUCUCACAUUAAUCUAUACAAUUCUUCUGUCACUCAAAUUGAUUUAAACAAUUUUAUAUGUACAAAAUAUUUGUAAAGUAGAUAGAUUUGCCUAUCUUGGAAGCACACAAAUUCCAAUUGCUUCCAUCACACUCCAACGCCAAUCUCACAACCUAUGGUAUUAAAUUUAAAACGCAUUGUGAAACUCUAGAUUUAGAUUCAUAAUAAAUCAAGAUUUUCAUAUGUAGACACUAUCUAAGCACUCAGUAUCAAGUUAUUAUGCAUCAACAAUAACUAAUUGGAUGGUUACAUGUAGUGCACACUGUUUUUAGGCUAAGAUCAUUAGAAUAGUUUUAUGGAAUUAAUAAAGUUAAUACCAGAAAUAUUCUAUGCUAAGAUCAAUCUAUACUUUGAAAAGGAGAAAAGAAGAAAAACAAAGAAAAGGAUAAUUCAUUCGUUGGGGGUAAUUAUGUAAAUGAUAAACCACAUCGAACCCAAGAAAUGUUGAAGUAUCUCUAAAGUCUGAAAUUACGUUGGAAGAGAAGAAGACUAGAGAAGUAUCCAAUAAAUGGGACACACGCCCCAUAUUAGAGAAUAGAGACUAGUGCCCAGUUCGUGAAAUAAGACAAGGAACAUAGCACCAAACACUUCACUUUCUCAGUUUCUCUCUCUCUCAACCAAAAAAAAAAGGAAACGAAACCUUUCAAAUGACGUAAAAGCAAAACACUGACUUUGCUUCCCCGGAAUUACCAAUCCAAGAAACGCUAAUGAUUCCUCCCUCCAUUAAACAACUCCUCUCUCUAAACCCAAAUCUCAAUCCUUCUCUCUUUUGAUUCUGUUCGCUUUUAACCCACACAUACAGAUUAUACAUAGUUUCGUAUGUGGAAGAAGAGUGUAUGCCAGAAAAAUCCCCCCUUUCUCUCCAUAACCUAAAUCACUCGAUCAUAAGUAGAAGAAAAAGGUAAACUUUUUUUUUGGGUGAUUUUAUAUGGUAAGAAGAGGAGAAAAGAGCAAACCUGGGAAAGUCAGGGGAGAAUUUGCUGGAGGGUUUAUUGGAUUGUAUCCAUGACAUCACAUCGGCUUUGGCUUUCGCUAGGAUGACUGAUUCUGCUUAUAGAGUUGACACCAUUUCCAGGCUCGCCCAAUGGCGAAUCCACAACCUUUCUUCCUCCACUUACCGCAAGUCCGAUCCUUUCAAGAUGGGUCUCUGGAAUUGGUAUCUCUCUCCUCUCUCUCUCCUUCCUUCUUUCCUUUUUUCAUGACCCGACAUGAAUGAUGGCGAUGAAUGAAACAAAAGUGGGCACCUUUUUUUCUAAUUGAUGUGUUUGGUGAUUGAUUUUGACAAUUUGGUGUGUUGAUUAUAUCCAAGGCAUUUGUCUGUGGAGAAAAGCAAGAUGCUAUUAAAUGUUAAGUUGUAUCCAGAGGUAUCAAACCUCACCAGAGAGAAUCCACCUGUUGCCUCCUUUGCUCUUCGUGUUGUCUCUUCUGCCGGUGAAAGGAAAGCUUUAUCUCAUCCAGGUCAAUAAGAUCUUGCUAUUUGAUUUUUUGGUUUCCCCUGCUUUUGUUCCUGUUCCACUUAAGAUGAAUCAAAAUGCUGACACUAUUUCUUUCACGAAUUUGUAUACCCGAAUGCAGAAGUAAUAGAUAAGCGGAUCAAGACAAACGAAGAUUUUCUUUGGACGAUUGAAGUUCCCUUAACUGGAAAAAUCAUCAUCGAUGUUGAGUUUCUAGACCUGAAGGUUCUGUCUCAAGAUGUAAGUGUUUCCAUCACUUCAGAGAUGUUACUAAGAAGAACCUUAUAUAUGUUUGGUGUGUUUAGUUGAUACUUAACUGAAUAUGGCAGAGUGGAGAAUUCUACUCAAUCUGGGAAGACGGUUCAACGCAGAAUCAAUCCAAAGCGUCAGCAGUAACAUCCCUUGGACGUAUGUUGGAAGAAAGCAUUUACACAGACAUAAUGAUCAAUGCCUCUGAUGGAAGCAUUGGAGCUCACCGAGCUGUUCUUGCUGCACGUUCACCUGUUUUCCGCAGCAUGUUUCUACAUGACCUUAAAGAGAAAGAGCUCUCAGCGAUCAACAUGCCCGACAUGCCUCUUGAUGCUUGCCAAGCGUUCCUCAGUUAUAUCUAUGGCAAUAUCCUGAACGAAGACUUUCUUAUCCAUAGAUUAGCUCUCCUCCAAGCAGCAGAUAAAUAUGAUAUUGCUGAUUUGAAAGACGCGUGCCACUUGAGUCUUGUAGACGAUAUCGACACAAAGAAUGUUCUUGAGAGGCUUCAGAAUGCUUAUCUCUACCAGUUACCUGAGCUCAAGGCUAGCUGCAUGAGGUAUCUUGUGAAGUUUGGUAAGAUAUUUGAGAUCCGUGAUGAGUUCAACAUAUUCAUGCAGUGCGCAGACAGAGAUUUGAUUUCUGAAGUUUUCCACGAAGUUCUCAGUACCUGGAAAGGAUUUUAGGGGGGAAUCAGAAAGGGUAUGUGUGCUAUUAUUAUUAUACAAGGACUAUUUUUUUGUGCAGAAGGAUUUGUUGGUCUUUAUGUACAGAUUAAAGUGUUGUCAGGGUUUUAACUCAAAACCCCCAAGUAUUGUCCUUGCAAGGAUAAAAACAGCAACAUGUAAAUUCAUGAUUUGAUUGAAUGCGAGAGCUUCUUAGCUUGAACUUUGGAUUGUUGGUCCAUAACACUAAUACUGUAUAUAGUUAUCAGUCUUAUGCUUUUAAAGUAAAAGUUUGAAAUCAGUUCUAAGUUCCAAGCAGGAUACCAGGCAAAGAGAUUCUAAUAGGGAUCAAAGGCUUAUUCUAGAGUUAGGCCAAGCUAAACUUUAUAUAUCCUCUCAUACUCUGUUAUAAUAGUACCAUUCAUCAUACGAGCAAAUGCCACAGGAAUAAUUUUAAGUGAUUUUGCAAAACUAAGCUACUAGUAACAUAUCAAAACCAUCACUCUAUAAACAUGACAACUAAACGUCUUAUAAUGUACAAUAUAUCUUAUAAGAUAUAGAGUGAUAUGGUUUUGAUAUGUUUGGAGAAUCAUGAAAUUUUGUACAAGAAACAUUAUAAAAAAACUUUUAGUUGUCAAUCUUUUUAACAUGAUUAUCAAUGAGUUCAUUUUGCAGCACAUUACAAGAAUCCAUAUGCCAUUUGACCUGAUUCGUAAUUAUGUGUUCCAAGCAGGAUAAGAGAUAUACUUAUAGUAUGUACAGAUGGUCAAGUUAGGCCGAGCUAAACAUUUCUAUAGAUAUGUAUCCUCCCUUAAUCUAUAAUCUCCGCACGGUUUUAAAAUGGUCAUCACAUAAGCUAAACAAUUCAUAAAUGCAACAGGAAUGGUUCAGUUUCAGAGAAUUCUCUAUACAUAAGCCCUUGUGCUAUUUAACAUUUUCAUUAAUUUAUCAAAAAGAGAAAGACUAGAAUCUGUGAUCAUACUUGAUACUAUACAUAGAUACCGUUGAUGCCGAACAUAAGCUUAGCGACAAUGAUAGCAGAGAUAAAAACACACCAAAAGGAACGAUCUGAAUCAAGCCAAUCACCGAAACCAAAGCCCUCGAAAGCGGAGAGUAAACCAAAGCGAAAGGUGUAAAGGACGUGUUUAGUGUCCAUGGUAUACCCAAAGGCAAUCCAAAGCGAAAGCCCAAACUAAAUUGGGCUUAACGUAGAGUUGAGCUGGAAGAUGGCGAUCCCAAAGGCAAACACGGAGCAUAUGUAGAUCAAAGCAUCGAUGGUCGAGUAAUAGUAAGGGAAAUAAAACAUGGCUACCAUAAGAAUCACAGAGUAGCCCGCACGUGUAGCAGGAAGAGGAGGCUCGUUUGGAUGCGAAUAAUAUUGUGGGACACUUCGCGAUAUCUCCCUUGUCGUGGCAUUGGAUUUUAAAGAUUCUAUCUCAAAAAAACACAUUAUCGAAGGAAGAGAUAAUAGUGCUGAUUUGAGACGUCCAUAACCUAUACCUAGGCCAUUCCACCGGUUUUAAGAUUGCAUCAAGAGCAGCUGCACAAUCAGUCGCUAUCGUUAUAUCCAUCAAGUGAAGAUCCCUUAGGCUUUGCAAUGCUCAGAUAAUACCUCUUAGCUCUGCUGUUAUUCGGUUAUGAAAGCAGGUCAAGGCAUCUCUUGCGUGAAACAGAACAGUACCUGAUGAGUCUCUUGCAAGCCACGCAACACCACUAAGUAGAGAGGCACUUCUCCAAUUGGCAUUCACAUUACAUUUCACGGUACCUGGAGGAGCACUUCUCCAAUUGUUUAUGUACAGAUUAAAGUAUUGUUAGGGUUUUAACUCAAAACCCCCCAAGUAUUGCAUAGUUAAUUAGUUUUUCUUUUGCAAAUCAAAGGGCAUCAAACAUUUUCAAACCAAUAACACCAACCAAUCAAUUGUUUUCACUCAGCUUAAAGAAUGUCAAUAGUAACAAACAGCUUAUGAUCAUGUUUUUGAGUAGAAAACAUUCCACAGCUCCCAUAAUUCUGCAUGGAAGAGAGCAUAUAAGGUGAUUAAAAGUUUUGGUGUACACAGAGACAGAGAUGGCAGAAUCAAAAGGACACAAUAUGAGCAAAAUAAAUGUCAGUCGUACAAAUCUUUAGUGUUUCUUUUUCUUUUGGUUAUUUCUGUUUCAGCCAGCCAGAUACGAAAGUGGCAUUUGCCAUUUGUUAUGCAUACUACACGAUUAGUGAAUAACAAAAAAAUAAAUAAAAGUUUUAAGAAAGAAUUAAAUAUAUAGGACAAAUAAACCUAACUAUUGUUAAAUUUUGUCCCAUUAAUACUUCUACUAAUAAUUUAACCUUUUCUACCCUUCUAAUUCGAAUUUACCCAUAUAAUUAAAAUUUAUGAUAUAAAAUUUAUUCUAGAAAGAAAGAAAUAUAUUCGAAAAAGAAAGAAAUAUAUUCUCUAGAUCUGAUUAGGAAAAAAAUAAAAAAUUUAAGAAAAUAAUUAGGAAAUUAAAUAAUUGGAAAAGGAAAUAAAUAUAUUCUCUAGAUCUAAUCCUAGAUUCUCGGAGAUUCAGUUAACCAAAUUGUAGAAUAAGUAUUCUAUAAUUAUAGAACAAAGAGUUUCCGUAGAAAACAAUUCUACUAAGAUAUAGAACAAAGAGGUAAAUAUAGAAAGAUAAUUCUACUAAACUGUAGAACAAUGAAAAAGUUAUAGAAUACGGUUUCAUAACUUUGUAGAACAUAGAAGAACUGUAGAUAACUAAUUCUAUAUAUUUAGUAGAAAACUAAUGAAAUAGUAGAUAGUCUAUUCUAUAAAUUUAUAGAUUUAUAGAAUGCACUUUCUACUAAUUCAUAGAACAUUUGUAAAAAGUUGUUUAAAAUUUUUUUUUGGCAAAAAGAUGUUAUGAAAUGUUUUUGUCUUCCCUUUUCAGAAUGAUCCAAAAUUUUUUAGAUUAUAAAAUUUUUUUUUAAAAUUUUUGUAAUUGUAAAUUAAUGGUAUUUUUAUCCAAAAGUGGUCAAGUUUGAAAAAGUAUUAAGGGGACAAUACUACAGUUUUUUUGUCCUAUAAAUAUAAUUGAAACAUAAGAAGGUCUAGACCCCUAUAUGAAAAUGAUAAUCUAUAAUUAAGUGGCUCUAACUCAUAUGGUUACGGAAUUAUGAAAGACCAGUGGCGGAGGUAUAUACAAUGAGUUGGGGGCAGUUGCCCCCAAUAAAAAAAAAUAUUUAGUGUAAAUUUGUAACAAUAAUACUAGUUGCCCCCACACUAAAUAGCAUAUAUGUUCCCAUUAAAUACGUUUUGUCCCUAAUAGAAAAAUGUUCUGGCUCCGCCACUGUGAAAGACAUCAGUGUGACUUGAAGCAAUGCUUUGUUUACUUCAAAGUUUGAUAUUCUGUGUAUAAUUAAAAAGUUUAGUCAAAAUCAUGAAUUUUCACUCAUUAUCCAUAUAUAAUCUAUAGAGAGACAAUGGUCACGUACGUAACAUUGUCGUUAUUUGACAAAAAAAAACCGUUUGUAUAUCAGAAUAAAACGAGAGAGUAUCUGUUUGGUUUAUAAUCAUACGUUAUUAUACAUAAUUAGACAAAAAUAGAUCGUAAAUGCUUAGGAAACAAAAUAGAUCAUCAUAGAUAUAGGUAAUUAACGGGGAAAAAACAAGAAUUCAUAGCCAAAAAAGAAAGAAAGGAAGUUUUAUAUAUUGAAUGCAGCUAUAGAAAAUACGAAGAUCCAAAAUGAUUGAUUCCUAUUUCCCAUUACGUUUUGGGUUAUAAUUACAAGUUUCUGAAUCAUAUAUUUCCAAUCGAUCGAAUCCAAAAGAAGCAAAACGAAAAGAAAAAAGAAAGAUGUUGAUGUGGGACUACUAAACAAACUAAAUUGGGCUUGACCAUCUGCUAGUAGUAGUCCGGGCUAAUGUCGAUCCAGCCUAAUUUCUUUCAGCCAUCUGCAACGGGGGACUUGCCUGGGAAGCUCAGCGACGACAGCUUCAGCCGGCGGGGGAGGUGGAGUGUUCAGGACUGCCAAAAGAAGCGAGAAGCAUACGCUUAGGACUAGAAUGUAAUGCUUCUUUGGAUAUUCUGCGACUGAGACGGUGAAGGCAGCAAUGAGGACUCCCUGGGCGAUUCCAAUGUCAUCGGUGAUUUUGUUGAUGACCCAGAACGAUAGUAGAAAGAGAAAGUAAAAGAUAGCGGAGAUGGCUAUAUACACAUCUUUCUCUGCCACCAUUCUUUUCCCCAGCCAGAGGAACAAAAAGAAGAAUCUAAUCGUAGUGACUCCCUUGAAGAUAGUGAAUGCACAAUCCCCAAAUUUAACAAGGAUUUUUUGUCGUGCCUUCCGUUACAAAUUGUGGAAUCCAAAUCAAGCAAAAGGAAACCAAUAUCACAUCGGCGAAAUACAUUGCUUCAUCGCCAGAGUGAUUCUUGCAAUACACCGAUUUUUUUAAAAAAAAGUUGUAGAGAUGAGCAGAUAAGCAGCAGCUUGAUACUUGGGAUAAAUAGAACCCAAGAAAACCUGUGAUGCGAGCGGCUGGGUUCAGACUUGGAAAUCGGAUGGUGUACCUGGGAAAAGCUGGAUUUCCGGCCAUGAGUAUUUGGAAAGAAGAAAAUGUAUUGGAGGAAGACAAAGAAAAUGUAUUGGAGGGAAGAACCAGAGGAAUUUAUAAAUCGACGCUGAUAUAAAUGAUAUUAAUGGGCCGGGUCAGUUUGAUUAGAGGCCUUAGAGAUUCGAGUCCUUAAAUUCUUGUCCUCAAAAAAAAAACCUCGAUCUUCAAAUCCCUUUCAUGGUUUAGUCUUGGAAAUUCGAUGGGGAAAAGCUGGAUUUCCGACCAUGGAUGAAUAAAGAGAAAGGCUCUUGGAUAUUUGGAAAGAAGAAAGAAUUAGUGAAUUUGUCCGCGCCUUGCACGAGCUGAUAUUAUUUUUUAUUUGAUUGUUUAAAAAUGUAAUAUAGUUUAGAUUAAUUUUUUUAUUCUUUAUUAUUGUAUAUAUUUGUUUGUUAGAUUUCUUUGCAUUUUAAUGUUUAAAAACAUGAUGUUGACUAUAAAUACUAUCAUUGUCUUUUUUUGUCCAUUUGGCUGAUAUGUUUUUUGAACAAGACUACAAACUAUAUAUAUAUACAUAUUUAUAAUAAUCAUAGAACAUAAUGAUUUGAAGUAUCGUACAAAUUUAUUCGAAGAAUAAAAUAAGAAAUUAAACAAUUUAGAAGGAUGUGAGAGAAUUAGGGAGAAAUUGUGUACAUAUUUAUACUAAAACAUUUGAAGUCAAAAACCGUAAUAGAGACAUGACAAAUUCCGUUAUUCCAUUAGAUAUUCUAUUUAUUGAUUUUUACUUUUUCGUUUAUUUGACUGAAUAUCAAUUAACUAAAUUAGAAAACGGUUUGAUUGACAGUGGACUGAAACAUUAAACCACAAUAAUUUAGAGCGGUAUGUUUUAAGUUAUUGUAAUACAUUAUCAGAUAAAAAUUAAUAAAAAAUGACACUUAAUUGGAAAAUAGGGUUAAAAAGUCUUUUUGCGUCGAAAUUCAUUCUAGAGUUGACACAUAAGCAAAACUUUUUGAAACUUGAUGAGAAACCGAGACCUAAGCUUUUCACUAUACAAAUAGUAUAUAGAAUUGGAGGAAGACGAAUUAAGAAUUGGAGGAAGGAAUUUAUUAAAUCGAUGCCGAUAUGAAUCCUUGUGUUGAUGUUAAUGGGCCGGAUCAGUUUGAUUAGAGUCUCACGGGUCCUUUAAAAUCCCACAAAAUGCCUCUUUCCCGUUCUCCUCAAAAAAAAAACCUCGAUCUAUCUUAUGACCUUUCAUGAACUUAGUUUUCGCAUAGUUUCGAUGGAUUUUUCCCGAUAUAUUGGCAAACCUGAGACGAAUUUUACCGCGUUUUAGAACUUUUGGCGUAUCUGCUCGAUAUGGCGGGUGGGCAAGUGGAGAAGCGAGUCAGAUUGCAGCGCUUUUUCUAAGUAAAAGUUUGAAAUCAGAUUGCAGCGCAUUUUCUAAUUACAAGUGCCAUUAACCUUAUUCAUAUGCAUGAAUGAUUCUGAGUUUCAAGCAGGAUGAUACCAGGCAAAGAGAUAGAUGCCAUUGGGUUUACUUUCCCUACCAAUUAAUCCACAGCCCAUAGGCCUAACUUAGGCCUAACUUAGGCCCAACUUAAGCCCAAAAUGCUCUAUCUUCCGAUCGUAUCACUGUCGUUACCACUCGUCGCCGACAUAUCAAACACGGCACAACUCCCGUCGAUCUGAGAAUCCCCGUCGUAGCUGGUCAUAAAAGAAUAAAACUCACAAUAAUAUAUUAUAGAAGAAGAAGCUUCUGUUUCGAUCAUAUCGGUUACAAAAUCUAAAUUUGUUGUUGUUGUUGUUGUUGUUGUUGUUUUGUUAACAGGUUUACACACGAUCGUCAGUAAGGUAAUCUCAUCGUCCAUGGAUUUUGUUGCUUAUUUUCGAACUACUCUAAACCCUAGAUUCCAAUUUUUGCUACAUCGCCUAUAAUUUUGAUUGAUUUUGACCGAUUUAGGGAACAUAUCUGCUGGAUAUGGCGGGUGGUGGGCAAGUGGAGAAGCGAGUCAGAUACAAGAGCUCUGUCAAGGAUCCGGGAACUCCUGGAUUUCUCAGACUAGUAAGAUUAAUCCACGAACAACUGGUGAAUUCUCGAUGCAUUUUUUUUCUUCUGCUUUCAUAUGUUUCAAUUGAUAAAAUUUCGCAGACGGAAGCAAUGUUGCUAUUUGUCCCAAACGAUCCGAAAUCAGAUUCAAAGCUUAAAGUGCAGACUCUAAACAUCAAAAGUAUGUAUGCCAAUUUACACCAGGUCUUAUUUGGAUAAGAGAUAUAAUCUGUUUUCCUCUUGUGUUUCUCGUUUCUUCAGUUUCUCCAUUGUAAAAUUUCUCAGGUCAAAAAUAUACAAAAGAAGGAUCAAACAAACCUCCUUGGCUUAAUCUGACCAACAAGCAGGUCUUUUGUUGGCCUUUUUGCUGAAAGCUUAGAUGUGUGCAUUUUGAAAGCUUAUUCUGUGUGUUUUAUGAGGCUUCCUAAUCUUUUUGAUCACAGGGAAAGAGUCAUAUCUUUGAGUUUGAAAAUUAUUCGGAUAUGCAUGCUUGCCGUGAUUUCAUCAGUAAGCUCUUUGUGCCGAUGGUUUUCUUUUAUUUAGUGGAAACUACCUUCUAUUGGUUUCUUUCAGUGGUACUGAAACCAUUUUACUAUGAACAGCUAAGGCCCUUGCUAAAUGUGAAGAGGUGCCUAAGAAAUCAGCUGUCUCGACAUCAACUGAGCAGCUCAGUAUUGCAGAACUGGAGCUACGCUUCAAGGUUCUCCGAGAAAAUAGGUAUGCAAUCGGAACACUAGGUUACCUUUUGGGAUCCUUAGAGUUUCUAUUUUCAUAAGUUCAUCGAAUUCCUUAAAACAUAAGUAGUGCAUGCAUGAUAUGUAGUGAGCUGCAAAGAUUGCAUAAGCAAUUUGUGGAAAGUAAAGUUUUAACGGAAGAUGAAUUCUGGGCUACAAGGAAGGUUGGUUCUUUGUAGUUUCUUUGGUUCUCAAUUAUCUGUUUGUUUGAGUGUAAUCAUAGUUACCAGCUUUCUUCUGAUCGCAGAAAUUACUUGGUCAAGUUUCCACUGGAAAGUCAAAACAACAAGUCGGGCUCAAGAGCAUGAUGGUAUCUGGCAUCAAACCAUCUACUGAUGGGCGGGUAUGGUAUAUUUCACUCUACCCCUUCCUGAGAGUCAUCCUUUUCGGUUAAUAAGUUCAGUGCAUGCUUUUGUAUGAAAGAAACAAUGCACCUGUAUAAGUAAACUAUGUUGUGUUUGGUUGAAGUCCAGCCGCUUGCUGUUAUAUAUCGUACAAUUCAUCUGGUUUAUACUAACCACCUUCUUCAAUGUUUUUUUUUUCAGACUAAUAGGGUGACGUUCAACUUGACAUCAGAGAUCAUUUUUCAGGUCAGCUCUUUGGUUGACUAGGUUCUCCACUGAUUUAGGUGCUCUAUAGGGUCAGGAUAAGUUUUACGGUGAACGAGGUCCAUGUUUCAAUUGGUGAUAUUUUCUGUCAUAAAUUAUGUUAUGUGUGGUUCCAUCUGCAUCAUGUGUUUGAACUUACAAACUCCAAAGCGAAACUACAAGCGAGGGAUAGAGACAUUUAUAAUAGCCUUUCAGUUCACCUUCUAUUUUGCGCUGGCUUAGUCCUUAGAUCUGCUGUAAGAAUAGUUGAAUGUUGCUUCACUCAUGCUACUGUCCAUGUCUCACAUAUGAUUCUUUCAUUACGCUUUCAGAUUUUUGCUGAGAAACCAGCUGUUCGGCAGGCAUUCAUAAACUAUGUUCCGAGUAAGGUAACAAAGCCUUCAUGACUAUGACUAUCUUUGUUUAUAGGUUUAACCAUCAAAUCCGACAAAUCUUAAAUGGUUUUUGGUAGUUUUUUACUACGACAGAUGACAGAAAAGGACUUUUGGACAAAAUAUUUUAGAGCAGAAUAUCUUUACAGCACCAAAAAUACAGCAGUAGCUGCAGCAGAAGCUGCUGAGGACGAGGAACUCGCGGUUUUUCUGAAGCCUGAUGAGAUAUUGGCUCGGGAAACUCGUCAGAAGGUUAUUUUGCCUCUACAAUUAUUCAUUUCUCUGUAUUUUAUUUGAGAAGAAAACAUUUUUUUGCAUAUUUAUCUGAUCUGAAUGUCAUUUAUGUAGAUUAGACGAGUUGAUCCGACUCUUGACAUGGAGGCUGACCAGGGAGACGACUACUCUCAUCUAAUGGUAAGCCAACUACCACUGCAUUAGAUGUAUGUUGGACACUGCGUCAAGUGAUUUGUUUUCUAAAAUCCUCAGACCCUGUAUAAGCUGUUAAAUCAAGAAAUUUAGGUUCUUACAAAUGUAAAUUCUGGACUACGCAACUACGUUUGAAUUAUCUGAUCUACUUCUAUUUCUUUGUGCCUUACAAAUUAAAACUACUGCUUUUAUCUUAUACACUAGGACCAUACUUUAAUAUUAGCUUGUAUAGGAAUGUGUUUCAUGCUGAUAUCUAGAAAAUAGGGAUCUUGAAAUCCAAUUUGCGGAUCAUAUCUUCACAUCAUGUGCUUAAUGUAAAUUUACUUUCCAACAGGACCAUGGGAUUCAGCGUGAUGGCACCAAAGACGUUGUUGAAUCACAGAAUGACCAAUUUAGGAGGUCACUGUUGCAAGAUCUUAAUCGCCAUUCUGCUGUUGUAUUGGAAGGCAGAAGCAUUGGUAAAACACUUCUACUAGAGCACCUAUUCUGAUUUCUUCAUCUGAUAUUCUGUGUAACGUCAUGAGAAAUAACUGCAACUGACUCUUACAGCUAGUUCGUAAAGGUUAAAUAUAUAAUGAUGCGCACUUGUACUUUUUUAAUUGAAAAGCAGAUGUUGAGUCAGAAGAUACGAGGGUUGUUGCAGAGGCUCUGACACGGGCCAAACAAGGUUUGCUGUUUCAUUCUGCUAUGUCCUACUUUAAUAUUCUUGCAGAUUGAUGACCGAUGCCACACGUUAUUAUAUUCAUCUGACUUCAGUAUCCAUCUUUAUUACUUUUGUAGUUAGCAAAGCUGAUGGUGAAACCACCAAGGACGCUAAUCAGGAUAGAUUGGAGAGAAUGUCUCGGACAGCGGAAAUGGAGGAUCUUCAAGCACCACAAAAUUUCCCGUUAGCACCGCUAUCUAUCAAGGUUUGGCUUUCUGCCAUUAAAGGGUUUUCAGUGUUGAUGAUGGAUGCUUCAUAAAUCCUCUAACCCUUUCUUUUUUUUUUUUUGGAAUUUAGGACCCUCGUGAUUACUUUGAAUCUCAACAAGGAAACGUCCUCAAUGAACCUAGAGGAGCAGGGGCAUUAAAUAGAAAUGUCCAUGAAGCUUAUGGGUUGCUAAAAGAAUCCAUUUUGGAGAUUAGAACUAAAGGAUUAAGUUAUCCGUUGAUUAAAUCAGAAGUUUCCUUUGAGGUGCUACUCUAUCUCAUGAUAAAAUGUGUGCUUACUAAAAGAAACCAUGGCUUAUUGCUUUGGUGCCUGCGCUAAACAUUGCUAACCUAUUCAGGUUUUCAGUUCGUUAACCCAAACUAUCUCAACUGCCAAAAAUAUUAUCGGGAAGAACCCGCGAGAGAGCUUUCUGGACAGAUUACCAAAGUCCACCAAGGAUGAAGUUCUACAUGUAAGUCAUAAGUAACAAUAACACCUAUGGAUUCUGUUGUCCCCUCAAAAUGGAUCACAAGAGUACUUUUUCUUUUUUCUUUUUCUCUUUCAUCUACAGCACUGGACAUCAAUACAAGAAUUACUGAGACAUUUUUGGUCAUCUUACCCAAUAACAACCACAUAUCUUCACACGAAGGUAAAUUUGUUCCCAUUUCAUAAUUCUCCUAAUCCCAGAAUUUGCUAUAUACAAAUAUUCACAACUUAUUUUACUCCAAGAGCAAGAUCGUAUACUAGGAUAUUAUGUUUUACUAUGCAGGUUGGUAAACUGAAGGAUGCAAUGUCCAAUACUUAUUCACAACUCGAUGUAAGCUAUGAAAUUCUUCUUCAAGUCUUCCUGAUAUAAUAAGCUACUCGUAGUCUAUUAGAACAGUCGUUCCAAAUCUCUCCAUGCCAGUAAUUGCAUAUGGUCUAGUGUGUGCGUUCGUGUACGGGUUCCUUGAUAUUAAUCUGCAUGUAACUCAGGCAAUGAAACAGUCGGUGCAAUCUGAUCUCCGGCAUCAGGUUUCUUUACUGGUUCGGCCAAUGCAACAGGUUAGCCUCUUCCAAUACUUACAGAAGAAGUUUUAUGACAGCAUCUCUCGAUCGGUUAAGUCUCCACACGCAUUGUAUCGGAUCUAUCCGAUUUAACCAUCCAAUCCAGGCACUACAUUGUAAUCCGGGUAACACAGUGAAAUCUGAGUGAUCUUAACCCGUUUUGUCCAUCAGGCCCUUGAUGCUGCGUUCCAACACUACGAAACAGACUUGCAGAGAAGAACCGCUAAGAGCGUUGGAGGCAGCAGCAGCGAAAGACCAAACGGGGGCGUUUAGAAGACAACACGCAUCUUUGUUUUGUUUCACAAAGUGUAAUUGAUGUUUUUGAGAUUUUUCUUUGGUUGCUUUUUGUCCGAUCAUUGAGAAUACAAACAAAAGGCGGUUAUAUUGUCUAAUCGAGGCGCUUUGUACUUGAAAGAGCAAUUUUCUUCAACAUCAUUCUCGAACUAAAGUACCCACUGAAUAUAAUUUAGCUUUUGAAGUGUAGUAGAUAAGAUUCUCCAGAGGACCUUAAGAUUGUUGCUUGAGUUACAAGAAACCUCCCGAUGCCUAGUUACAAUGAACAAUAAUAAUAGGGAGAGGCUUCUGUUUACAUAAAUUUCAAUGGGAUAUGACAAUGAUCAAAUUACAAAACAAACAUUCCAGAUUGGAAAGAGAAAAAGAAAAAAAAAACUUCGAAGAUAAAGAAAGAUGCAAGACUAAGUCCAAUACAUAACCUAUAAGAAAUAAAUUUUUAAUCCAAGAUUCAAAUACAUCAUCAAAGUUUUUUGUAGUUUGAUGGUGGACUUCAUUAACCAUGCGAAUCACACACUUGCCGUGGAGAUGGGACAACAAGAGGUCCACUUCGAUUUAAGCUAAAAAUCUAUACUAUUAAAUCAGCAUAUUUAACUAAAUAUCAUAUCAGUAAUUCACAUAUAAUACAUAAGGGACAUUCGAAAUUAAUUCAAAAAAAAAAAAAAGGUAAAAUGGCCAAUCAAAAAAAAUUAUUUUGAGUCCGAAUAACUCUAAUUAUUAUUUUAUUUUUGGUCACAAAACGCGAAUAAUAACUCUAGUUAUAUAUAGUGUUUUUUUUUCUUCUAUAUACACUUGUAGUUGUAGUUAGUUAACAGGACAAAUUAAAAUGAUGUAAAAAACUAUAAAGAUAAAUGAAAAUAUGAGGAAUAAAUUUAUGAUCUCUUCGAUUUGCAUUCUUUUGAAAAAAGCUAAACUUGUCUUCUUCAACGGAUGAAAAUUUAGUAGCGAGAAGGAAACUUCCUAGCUCACGCUCUUCACUUCAAUCUGAGAUCUCAUCGCAACUAAAUCACACAGAGAUCACAAAUCUCGUGAAGUGAAACUUUUUAAUUGUAUUCCUUGAAAAUAACAAACCCAUCGAAUUUUUGUAGACUAAGCUUCUCCAUCCAUUCUUCCUCCUACAGCAGAUCCGAAGACGAAGAAGAAAUCAAACUAGUUCCGGGUUUUUUAUCUUGCUAGUUUGUUGAGUUAUGCUGGAUUUGGUUUUCAAUCUUUCUUCUCUGACCGUUCGUUGACUUGCUUAGGUAAAAAUAUCGGGAUCUCUUUGCAAGUUCCUUUCAUUCCUAUGAAAAUCACUCAACUAUGUGUUGUAUUGAUUCUUUGUUUGUGGUCUCGAGGUUUGGGUUAGCGUUUGAAAACGUUUUUGACUAAAGCUUUGAAAGACAAAUUCGAAUUGGAUUCGCGUUACUCUAUAUCAAUGAAUUUGUUCUUCAAGUAUCUACUGAUUCAUGCAAAUCUUAAGCUUAGACCUUAAAGUAACGCAUUUUCAGUUCAAGUUCGCCUUUUGUUGCGGUUUCUAUUCUGUGAAGAUCAAUGGGCUUUGAUAUUGAUGAUCUGAUUGGUCUCCCAAGUUUUCAGAUUUAAAUUGUGUUCGAUACCUAAUCUAAGGUUUGGGUUACAGGUACAAGUCUCUCCAUCUCCAGCUUCUAGAAGAAGACAACAUUUUAGUGUAUCCUCGUUGAGUCUAUGGGUUGUUGUAAGGUGCCGGCUCUUAUUCAGGCGCAGGUAGAAGUAAGUUAGUUCACGAGAUCAGUGUCUUGUCUCUUUUUUUUUUGGCUCCUCAUUGUCAGCUGAUUGGAAAAAGUUGUCAUUGUAAACAGAUGGGUUUGGUAAGUGAAGUUGAGCACAAAAGACUUUUCAGACGAGAAACAGAUUCACCACAAACAAAAGCUGCUUCUUUGAUGGAGCAAGGUGGAUCAUUUUCUGCAAAUUUUCAAGAGCGCACAGCUAAAGCACCUAAGCACAGCGUGCUCCAGAGCUUCAAGAUCGUCAUUUUAUCGAAUAAACUCAAUCUUUUGUUGCCUUUCGGUCCACUAGCAAUAUUACUCCACUAUUUGACAGAUAAUAAGGUGAGCAAUGUUAGUUUCGGGUACUAAAUUUUAGCACUUUCGUUCCUUCUUGUUAUGUCAUCAAGAAAUGAUUCUUAUGGCUCAGGGAUGGAUCUUCUUACUGAGCUUAGUAGGAAUCACACCAUUGGCUGAACGUCUCGGAUAUGCCACAGAGUAAGCCGUUGCUCGCACUUGCAACUCUUAACUUACAUUCUAUUAGCAAGACUUGUAUAAAAGUACCCGUUUGUUUAUUCUUUGUAACAGGCAAUUGGCUUGUUACACAGGUUCAACUGGUAUGACUUGGUUUCUUCUAAAUACACAAGUUCAUUUUCAGGAUUCCUUUCCCUCCUGAUUAGUUUUUGACGCGCUAGAAAAAUUUCACAGUUGGAGGCCUCUUAAACGCUACAUUUGGAAACGUGACAGAGCUGAUCAUAUCUAUUUUCGCUCUUAAAAAUGGAAUGAUACGCGUUGUACAGCUGACACUGCUCGGCUCCAUUCUUUCUAACAUGUUGCUUGUACUUGGCUGCGCCUUUUUCUGUGGGGGGCUUGUAUUUUCCCGUAAAGAGCAAGUCUUUGACAAAGUAGGCAUAUCAAUUCACUUGUUGUCUCUUUUUUUUCCUGUUUUGUUCUUGUUGUUCUGUAAUCUUUACCAUGUUUCUGAGCUUAUAUCUUCUGCAAUACAGGGGAAUGCGGUUGUGAAUUCAGGACUGCUUUUGAUGGCUGUUAUGGGGCUACUCUUCCCCGCUGUUCUUCAUUACACGCAUAGCGAGGUUCAUGCUGGUUCGUCAGAGCUGGCUCUUUCAAGGUUCAGUAGUUGCAUAAUGCUUGUGGCCUAUGCUGCUUACCUUUUUUUUCAGCUAAAGAGCCAGCCCAGUUCUUAUACCCCUCUUACCGAGGUGUGUCAUCUUCGACCUUUAGUUUUUUCUUACAGAUGCCUGGAAACGAUGGUGAAGACAACUUCAAAUAUUAAAUGGUUUCUUACAAGUUACAAACCAGUUUCAUCAUUUAUGGGCUCUGUUCAUUUUUCUUCUUGGUUGCUCUCUCUACUAGCUGGACUUCAAUCUGCUGUUUGGUGAAAAUUUGUAAACUUUAGGAUAUGAACCAGAGCGAAGAAACUUCGGACGAUGAUGAAGAUCCUGAGAUCUCCAAGUGGGAAGCAAUCAUCUGGCUUUCAAUCUUGACUGCUUGGGUCUCUCUUCUUUCAGGCUAUCUUGUCGAUGCCAUUGAGGUAAAUCACUACCCUUUUUUUUUUUCUUUCUAGAUCUUAUCUUUAUGAAGAUUUUACAGUAUUAACUUGACUUGUUUAUGCCAUAUGAUUAGUACGGCAUUAUAACGUGAGUAUACUAGCUGGCUUAUGGUAAAAACUCAACCGAUGCAAUACAUAAGUUGGAAUAUGUUUUAGAUACUUGUAAUAUUCCUAAUCACAUGCACGAGUCCAUCAAAAGCGCCAAUAUUUUCUGUAGAAGUGUCUUGUCAAAGAGUGACUAGAAACCAAUGAUCACUACAACAUAACAAUGCGAGUUUGGCUUACUGUUUUCUGUUGUUUGUGUUUUUCAAUAUAUAACAGGGUGCUUCGGUCUCAUGGAAGAUACCAAUCUCGUUUAUUAGUGUCAUCUUGCUUCCUAUAGUUGGAAAUGCGGCCGAGCAUGCAGGUGCUAUUAUGUUUGCCAUGAAAGACAAGCUGGUACGCAGACUAGUCUCUUGCAAUUCUGAUGUCUUUGGUUUAUCUUUUUUUAGGUGUAUAUUUAUUAUACUCUCCUCUACAGGAUCUGUCUUUGGGAGUGGCUAUUGGAUCGUCAAUCCAGAUUUCCAUGUUUGCGGUACGUAUAAGAAAUGUGAACCUGGGGUCUAUAUAGUACUGAACAUUCUCUUUACAGAUCUGGCCUGACUUUUGGCCCGAUUAUGGAUAUAGGUUCCAUUCUGUGUGGUGAUCGGAUGGAUGAUGGGUGAACAGAUGGAUCUGAAUUUCCAGCUAUUUGAGACUGCUACACUGUUCAUAACUGUGAUAGUUGUAGCAUUCUUCCUCCAGGUGGGUUCAUAAUCUUGAAGCAAUUAAUUACGAAAACCAAUCUUGACGUUAAAUUAUGUCUCUGUGUUUGUCGUUGUGCAGGAAGGGACAUCGAAUUACUUCAAAGGAUUGAUGCUCAUUCUCUGCUAUUUGAUAGUUGCUGCCAGUUUCUUUGUACACGAAGAUCCUCAUCAAGGUUAGGUGUUGAAUUUGUUAUCUUCUUCCCAUAUAUUACGUAAAUGGUAACAUUAACCAGAAAACCUGGUUCGUGUGUCUGCGGAAACGACUUUGAAUUGGUUUUUUGUGUUCUUCGUUACUUGACAGAUGAUAUAUAGCCAUCCCAAAAAACACGUGAAUCUGGUACGUGUCCUAAAACUAAACCCUGGUGAUCUUACUUACAUGUACAUUUUUUUUUUAAGAUUCUGGAGUUAAUGUUUGUAUCAGACCAAACUGAAAGUUGUCCCAGUUUACGUUUGAGGCCCCUUCCUUGGGGGCUGGUUUAGGGUUGCAAUUUUGUGAAAUUACUUUGAUUAUCUUUAUAUAUAUUAUAUAAUCUAUUGGGAACUUGUAAUCGGAAUUUCUAUAGAUUAGGCAUCUAUCCAAGCGUUGCGCUCACCUAAAACAAUUUAACAUUUCUAUACAUAUUAAUAAUAUAUAUCACAUUAACCAUAUAUAUAAAUCAGAUUAUUCAUUCGAUAGUAAUUUUGUUUUAAAUUCAUGGUGUCCUGCUACCAAGAUGCAAGACCGGCUAAGAAACCUUUUAAAGAUUAUGCGUUAUGUUCAAGAUUUUUGUAAUACAAAAAAAAAACUCUAUUUGAUGAAUUGUGUCAUGGAUCCUAUGUGAAUUAGUGAAUACACAAAUGCGAGAAUCUCUUACAAGAACAGCCAUGUCCGCUUUAUAUUAAAAGAAAAAAAAAAUAUCAGGUUUGUUGAGUGUACAUUGUAAAAAAAAAAAAAAAAAGGAGAAAUGCAAAACGACGACACAGUUACACUCGUCGUUUGCAAAAACAAGAGGGAGGGCAUGAGGCCAUGUUGUGGAGAUCACCUCCAAACAAAAAAAUAAUAUACGAUGUGGGGCCCAUAUCGUAGGCCAUAGGCAGAAAGAACUAAAACCAUACGUCGUUUUUGAGGCUUCCCACUCCAGUAAUAAUUGGUUCAACAGUCAAAAAUGUAAAACCUACAGUAGUAAGUAAGAACCGUUCAGUUACCGUUGGUUAAAACAGUAAACUUAUUCACUUUGUGGGGCCAGUUCGUUUGAGCAGCCCAUUAGCCUAUCUAAUCAACAGGGCCCAUCUCUUGUCUGAAGGAUGCAUACGCCUUUUUUUUAACAGCUACCCACCCACAUUACCAACUCUAAUCUACCCAUCUACUGUACGGAUUGAUUUAACAUACUGUAUUUGAUUCUUCAAUACCCUAUUUUGACUUCCUGUUGACUAUGUGUUUAAAAUGAUUUUCAUUCAAGGCCUUAAAUCGUAAGCGAACAACAAUUUUUGCGUACGUGUACGCUGGUAAUUGGUGUACUGUGCGUUAAAAUACUUUAUUAAUAAAAUGUUCAUCGAUUGUAGCAAAUCACCUUCACGGGAAGAAGAACAGAACAGUUCAAAACUUGAAAAGGUAAAGAAGGCAAAGAGUUGACUCCAUGGAUUCAAGAGACCGUGUCAGGCUUCUUCUCUAAGCGAUCCUAAACCCCAUUACAGAUGUUACGUUGUUAAUUUACAAAUUAAUAAAAUCAAAUUAUUUUCUCUUCUUUUCUUUUUGGUAACCAUAUAAAAUCCAUUUUCUUUAUAAUACUAUUUGGUCAUAUUAAACUUUAAUUUUUUUGGAAACUACCACAGCUUCCGUUUUUUCUAACGUUAAUACAUAUAUAAAUCUUCUUAAUCAAAAAAAAAUUAAUACAUAAAUUGUUUAAUUAAGGGUUUUGAAGAGCUUUAAUUAGAUUCUUCAUUACAAUUUAUUUACUCAGAAUCUCUUAUGAAAAGUUUAAGAAAAAAAACUUUAAACCUUUUUCGUAUUUUAUAAAAAAGAUUAUGGUGUUUUUGAAAGGAAAAAACAAAUUUCAUGCUUUAUUAGAAAAAUUUCCUUAUAAUAAGUACGGUGUUGUAAGUUAACAAUAUAUUUUCAUCUAGACACAAUCUUCGUUCUUCUGUACGCUCCAUCUUUUUUUUUUUUUUUUCUCUGUCGCUAAUAAUAGACUAGGUGAAGACCCGCGUAUACGCGGAUUUAUUAUAUUAUUUAUAUUUUUUAAUUUGUGUUUAAUAAAAUAAAAAUUUUUCUAUCAGUGUAUAAGAGUUAACUUUUUAUUUUUAAGAAAAUUAUCCUAACAAAUACAACAUAAUUUGUGAUAGAAGACAUUUGAAGAAUUUGUUUAAUGUUCUCUAAACUAACUUAAACAAAAAAAAAAAGUGGUUUGUAAUUUUGUGAUGAGACCAUAUGUAUUUAUUAAUAAAUCUGUCAUACUUUCAUGUUCUUGUAAGCUCUUUGCCUUCUUUUCUAAAGUUGGCAUCCAUCUCCCACAAGCCUCAAAGUCAUUCACCAUGUGUUACCAACAUUUUCUGAUGGGAUCGUUGAUUUGACAAGAUUAAUAAGAAGACCGAACAAACCAAUGAUAACUGAAAUAUAGAUUGAUUUUUGCCCAAUAUAUAUCCAAAAUUAUCCCCCACAAAGAGUAAAACCUUUAUCUUCUCGAUUAAACAGAUAAUGAUCAUGACUUUAUCCUUCUACUACUCAGGAGCCUAUAAUAUGAUGAUAAUAAAGUUUUUUCAAAAGAGAUACAAUCUCAACCAAGUUUUUAUGAAAUCAAAACUCUUGGCCUGAAUAAAUUGGUAUGUAUAGAUAACAUGUGAGCUAACUUAAAUAAUUCUAAUUUGUCAAAAUACAAGCAAGCUCUGUUUACAAUAUUAUGUGAUUAUAUUAACUUGCUAUCUCAGAAGUGUUUUUUUUUUUUUUUCAGAAUUGUCUAUUUUAUUUAAAAAAUAUAUUCAUGCCACGACAACCAUACAAAAUCUUGUGACCAAUAAAAGGUAGUAUCUAGAUGCAACUUGGAUAAUAUAAAGCAUCUCUGUAUUGUUAUUCACUUUUUCAGUUAACUGAAAGAAUUGCGUUAUAAAUCUAUAGAUAUAUCAACCAAAAAAUAUGGGUAGAUGAUAAGGAAGUACCUUAAGGUGAUAUGUGCAUUCUGGUGAUGUACCAUGUGCAUUGACUAAAUUCCAUUUUCACAAUAUUAUGAGCAAGCGGCUAAUAUCAUAGCAUAGACUUCUAAAAUAUAUCUAUAAUAAGUAAUUGACUAUAAGCCGUAAGUAAGAUAAUGUCAACCAUAAAGAACAUUAGAUAACUUUUAAAUUAUAUCAGGAAACUAAGAGAGAAAAUAUCAAACAACAAAAUUGCUAGUGCGCAUCUUAUUGAGAAAAUAUAUGCUUUUACCGAGGAUUUUUAGCGAUGAAACGUUUUUUUAAAGGAAAAGGAAGACGAAGAAUUUAGAAAUCGAUUAUAAUACAUAAAUUAGAGAUGACAAGUAGCUGAUUUUAAUUUGAUUUUUUAAGCUGAUAUGUUUUAAGAAGAAAAGCUUAUGUGUCAAGCUUGUGAGACUUAAUUGAAUCUUUAUAUAAUAGAUUAUUAAAAAAAUGAAAAAAUUGUCAAUAAAAAGCUAAUCUUUUGCAUAUACAUUAUAUAUUUCGAGAAAAUGCUGUCUGAACUUCGUUUAUUAAUAACUACAAGCUUUCUGAAUAAUCUCAUGCAAAUAUAUAUAUUAAAAAUGAUCGUGUAAGAGUUAAAACAAAAAAUCCUAAGUUUAUCGGAGCCAUUGAUACAUCAAUUUACGAAGAAAGAGUCAGAGGGAGAGACAUUGCACUUUCUCUUUUUGUUAAACAAAGAAGACGGGCGCAUUUGACCUCAAUGUAAUAAGGUUUGGAACUCGAGGAAAAUAUGGAAAGGAAAAAAAUUGAAAGAUUGCUUGUGAAUCAGGAAAAGCAAAUCUCACAAGCCUUUGAAAAUGCAAUUUCUUCUCAGUUUAAAAUAUUUAUUAUUUCUGACAAACUGGUAUAUAUGAUUAAAAAGUUAUUUGUAAUUGUAUGUUUCUUCGUUAAGUCUUAACCACUAGUUAUCGUACCAAAGGGAGCAAAACAAAAAAUGUUUCUCAGUACGCUCCAUCUUCCUAUCUUGAAUUUUUAAAAAUCAAUAUAAACUAAUGACUUUACAAAUUAAUUAUUAAUUAAAUAGAGUUUUUAUCCUAUAUUUCUUAUUUGAAAAUGAAUACCAAACUCUCAGAUGUUAAAAUCUGUAGUUUUUGAAAAAAUAUGUAUGAAAUGUAGUAAGUACAAAGUGGAAGGGUAACGAAAACGAUCAAUAACUGCAGAAUAUUUUGGGCUUUGGAAUGGUAUAUAUUAUUAUUAUGGCUGUCACUCUGCGGAGAAAGUGACAUUUCCUUGUUUUUUUAUUUAUUAUAAAUGGCUUUGUAAUCUUAUAUAUAAAACUUGGCCAACUUUCUCCAGCUCCUUGCCACAUCAACACUGGAGAAAGCGCCACCUGUCCAUUUAAAAUCUUAAUGAAAUAAACAAUUAAUCACAUUUAAAGAAAAAGCAUUAAAGAACAUUAAUAAAUAUUAAUAUGUAUAACAAAUGUAUUUAAAUAAAUAAAUUCAAAUUUAUUUUAAAUAUAUCAAAACUUAUAAAUAUUAUAUAAUAUAAAACUUUUUGAAAUACAUCAUUCCAUUUCUUCUUUUCAAGUGAUUUAAACUACAUUUUCAAACUAAAAGUAUAAUUAAAUUUUUAUGAAAGUGAAAAAAAAUUAUCAGACUGAAUAAGUUAAGAAAUUUUAAAUAAUCUUAUAUAAAACUCUAACUAAUAAAAUUAUAACACACAAAAUAUUCAAUAAAUGAUUAAAGAGUUAAAAACAUUACUAAAAAAUAAUAGUAAAAAAAAAGUGGAUACAUAAAAAUGUCAUACAAAGUUUUUUAGUAAUUUUUAAAAAGAUGUAAUCAAUAAAAUAUAUAUAACCAAAAAAAAUCAAAAUGGUAAAUUUUUCUAUGAGCUAUUACGUUUUUAUAUAAAAAUUAAAAUAGUAGAUCUUUAGUCUCUCAUUACCGUAUGAAAAAAAUUGGAUUAUUUGGUACAACCGGUGUGAAAGAGAUUACAAAUAAUUUAUCAUCUAGAAGAAAUCGGAAAAUAUAAAUAUUUUAAACGAAAAAACAUUGAUGGUAAAAAUAAAAUUCAAUACAAAUCUUAUAUAUAAAAGACAAUCAACUCUCUCCAAAUGAGUGACACAUCAGCAAUGGAGAGAGUGACCUGUGGCACAUCCAAAAAUUGAUAAAAUAAAUAAUUAAUUAAAUUUAAAGCAAAACACAUUAAAAACAUAAAUAAAGAUUAAUAUAUAUAUAUUUAUAUAUACAUACAUUAGAAUACAAUUCAAAUUUAAUUUAAAUAUAGAAAAACUUAUAAAUUAUAUAAUACAAGAUUUUUUAGAUGCACUAUUCUAUUUUCUUCUUUCAAGUGAUUUAAUUUUUUUUUCAAACUAAAAAUAUACUAAAUUUUAAUGCAAAUAAAAAAAAUUAAGACUGAAUAAAUUACGAAGUUUCAAGUAUUCUUAUAUAAAACUUCAACUAAUAAAUUAAAAAACACAAAAAAUAUUUAAUAAAUGAUUAAAGAGAUAACAAUUAUUAAAAAAAAAUAGUAUAAAGAAAGAUGUGCACGUAAAAAUAUCAUACAUAAAUUUAAAUUAAAAAAAUGGAAUCAAUAAAAUAUAUAUAACUAAAAAAUUCAAAAUGGUAAAUUGAAAAAGUUAACAAGUAUUAUAUUAGUAAGAUUUACAAGAAUAAAAAGAAUAUGAAGAUCGAAGAACAAAUAAAUAUUCUUUUCUGAUAUUAAACGUAUAUUUAUAAGCGAAUUAUUACGUUUUCAUAUAAAAUUUAAAAUAGUAUAUUUUUAAUCUCUUAUUAUUUUGGAAGAAAAAUCAGACGAUUUGACACAACCGGUGUAGAAGAGAUUACAAAUAAUUAUCAUUAAAAAAAAAUCAAGGAAAAUAUAAAUAUUUUAAACGUAAAAACAUUGAUAAUAAAUAUAAAAUUCAAUACAAAUUUUAAAAAUAUAGUAUUUAAAUAUAUAUUAAAACAAGAUCCGUGUAUACCACGGGUUCUCUCCUAAUUUAUUUAAAAGGACUUUGUUCUGCACUGCACUGCAAAACGGAGAUUUCGCCAUCUUCUUUGUCACAAUGUCAAGUUGCUCUCAAUUCUUGGAUUCUCUCCAUCACAUCCAAAUCUUUCUUUUAUAUCUUUCCUCUUGUAUUUCCCAUUUUUUUCUUUUGUUUUUUUUUUUCCGUUUUUUGUUUGAUUUGUUGUUUGACCCUCUUUUUAGCUUAGCUACCCAUGUUCGUAUUAUUCACUUAUUAAUGUUUCUUAAAUAUGAUGCUAACGUUACUAUCAUGUCUGAAAUUCACAAGGGCGAAUUUUAGGAAUAUACUAUAUUAUAUAUGUAUCUUCAAAAACUCAGAGUGCAUACACACUUUUCGAUGUUUUUUUUGGCUCAGCGCUAGAUAUUGUAGUCGGCUGAUCGGCUCACAUUUGGUUUUAAUUACUGAAAAAGUGGUCAAUUCGGGUUUCAAAUCAUACUUUUUCUCUGGUUAGACUAGACUACUUAAUUUUGUCUAUAUAUAUUAUACAUCACUCUCUACAUAUCUAUGAAAACAUCAAAGGGAAUAUAUGUUUUAACUAUGUUUUUUUUCAGUCAUUUUAGAUUAUUUACAUAUCGGAUGUAUUGCCUGUUGUAUUAUAAACUUGUAAUGGUCCCUUAUGGACACUGUAUACGCAUUGUUUACUUAUAUAUAUAUAUAUCACGUGUAUACAUCUACAUAUACAUCAUGCAUAGAUGUAAAAAUGUUAUUCUGGACCACCGACCUCCUAAAGAAAAAAUGAUACCAAUAAUUAUGUAAUUAGUACUGUGGUUAUUUGCUGGUGGGAGUUCCCGAACAUUAAAUGCUUUUAACUGGAAUUUAUUUGUCUGCACGCAAUUGAAUAGCAAAGUGGAAAUUUAAUGGCGCGAAUGAUGGUUUGAUGAUGCGUUUUGGAGUCACAUAGGAAGACACGACAGUGUCUUGUGUCGUUUAUUAGACAUAGGGGGUAAAAAGUAAAAAAAAAAUAUAUGAUUCAAAUAAAAUCAUUCGACAAUGAUGUAAUAUUUUCCCUCCGAACUGAACUAUGUUCUAUGCUGUUUUUUUUUAACGUACCGUUAUGUCUGAUGGGACCAUUCUCAUUUAUUGCUGGACCCGUUUAUUUUUAACCAAAAUAAAUUGGAAUCGUGAAAAGAAUUUAACAAAAAAUAUCGUGAAAGCAAAAAUAAGGUACAGUUUUUAUUUUGCUGUUUAAAUGGUACAAAAUUGGUGGUAAGAGUCCAUGAGUGAUGCAAUGGACCGUUUGUUCAAUAAUCAGCUUGAAAACAAUCGAUGUAUGAUACUGGUAAGAAUAAAUACAUAUAGAUAUUGAGUUGGUACUAUUGUGUAGUAAUUAUUAGAACACAAUAAUUAAUCUAUCAGAAUGUCAUUUAUUUAAUGCUUUAGAAAUCCACAAUCCUAGUAUGAAUCUAAAAUGAUGGGGAAGCAUGCAUUAAAUACAGCAGGCUGGAAAGUCUUGACACGUGUCCAUAUCCAUAUGUGGUUGUAUGAAAAGUCAACUUACUGCAAUUCAUUACCACCAUCCUUUUGCUCUAAUCAAACAAAACAUUUUUAUUUCUUCUUUUCUUUUUGAGAAAACGCUUUUAGCUCUACUAAAAUAUCUCAUGGAACUUUACUGAUUUACAUAACUAAUCAACCUUUUUCUUUUUUUACAUCUUACUAAAUGUCAUUCAAGCUAUUAGUUUAUUGACUAAUAUUUUAUCUAUAAAUCAUGCAGAUUUAGUAAUUGGUUUUAUACCCAAUUAAAUAUAUUUUUGAAUUAUUAAAAAAGGAUUGAAACGAUAAUAAUUUUGAAUACUUCUUUCCCAAUAUAAUCUGAUCAGAAAAAGUUCACCAAUAAAUCGAUUUGAAUAAAAUGAUACAUGAUAUACUGUAAAAAAUGCAAAGAAGUAAAUAACAGAAAUUAUGCGUUGUGACUUAUCUUAUAUAUAUAAAAGUUGCUUAACUUUCUUCAUAUGAUUGACAUAUCAGCAAGGAAUAGGUUGACACAUGUCCUUAAAUUUUAAUUAAUAAUUUUUAAUAUUAAAUUUUAAAACACUUAAAGAAUAUGAAAAGUUUAUUUUAUUAAUUGACUCUUAAUUCAAAUUUAUAUUAAUGUUAAACAAAAGUUUAUGUUAUAACUAAUUAAAAAUAUUGAUAGAUAUGUAUUUAAUUUUUAUAUAAUUGUAUAUUAGUUAAUAAUAUUUAGAUUACUUAAUAAUAUUGAAGAUAUAUUUUAAAUUAAUUUUUUAAAAUUAUUUAUAAUAAAAUACUAACAAGUAACAAAUGAAAUGAUGAUUAUAUUAAUUUUAUUUUUUAAUUAAUUGACUAUCAAUUAAUAUUUCUGUAAAUGUUAAACAAAAUUUUAUGUUAUAACUAAUUAAAAAUAUUAAAUGAUAUUUAUUAAUCUUGAUAUAACUUUAAAUUAUUAAAUAAUAUUCAAUAUGUAUUAAUAUUUUAUAAUUUUUAGAAUAAAUAUUAACAAAUAAGUAAGUAAUAAGUAAUGAUUAUAUUAAUUUUUAUAAAAAUAUAAAAUAAAGUUUGAAAAUUUUGAAAAGAAAAAUUGGCACGUAACGUGCGGAUAUUCAAAUAAUAAUAAAAAAGACUAUUUUGUGGUCAAAAAACUAAAAAUUCUAAACUCGAAGAAAACAAUCUCUUUCUCCUUUUUGAUCUCUAUAUGUGUAAGACUUAAAGGUCUGAUUUUAUUCAACAUUUUUGUUUAAUUUUACUAAGUUUGUAUGUAUGUAUACAUUAAAUGUAAUAAUUGUUCAAUAUCUACAUUUUUCGUUGUAAUUAAACAACAUAAUAGAUAUCGUAAAAUUUAAAUUAACAAUAAUUAUUUAUAUAAGACAAGACAUUAUGUUAUGUACUUAUGUUUAAAGGAUGCUUACCUUUUUUUGUCGGCAAAGGGUACUUACUUACAACAUCUAUUGAACAGUCGAGAAAAUAAUUUUAUCAAAAUAGUUGAAAAUCGUGAUGCUUUUUUUUUUUUUCUUACAUUUGAAUGAAUAAUUUAAUAGUCACUUAUAGAGGGAAGGGGAAGGAAGAAAAGGACACGCAUGCAAAAUGAAGGCAGACCAAAGAAAGGGUAAGAAAAAGCAAACUGACGAAGCUUAAUAAAACUUUCACCUUCCCCAUUGUUUGUUCACAGAAAAAGGGACCAACAGAUAAAUUAAUAAUACCAAACCAAGAGAAUUUUUAUUUAUUCAUUCCUUUUUUUUAUAUUAAUGCAAAAGAGAAUAUUAUUAAGUAGCGAAAUUCAAGACUUAAAAGAAGCAGAAGAAGAAGAACAACAACAACACGCGAGAAAAUCCAGAUCUUUCCCUCUCUCUCUCUCUUUCCGCAUCUCACUUUUUCCAUCCUCGAAGAACCCUUUUCUUGCCCUCUACUUUCUGUGGAAAUUUCGUAUUCUCGCUUCUUCGUUUGUUAAUUUAACGUGGAUUCCGAUCGUUUGGAGUUACUGGAAUCGGAGAGAUCGUAUUUCGUCAAGGUAAAUUUCAGAGUUUAAAAGUCCUUUCUUUAUUAUACUGUUCGUCGGUGGGUAUGUUCACUGUUUCCCGAGAUUCGAGUGUGAGAUCCGUUUUGUUUUCUAUCGGCAUUGCUGCGAUUUCAAGCGGUUUUAAAGUGUCGGUGAAUCAUUGAGAGAAAGAGGAGGAGCUUCGUGGUUUUCGUUCUCGAUGCUCCUCUCCUCUGACUACUGUUUCAUUUUUAACGGUUUCGUCUCUUUUAAAGUUUCGAGAUUGCAUUUAUGGCGAGCUAAAGUAAUGCGUUUUUUUUUCUUUUGUUUGUUUUAGGACAAGACAAGUGUAGAUAAGACUUAAAUGCAGAGAAAUCGAGUGAAUGUAUUCAUAAGCCCCACUUUAAGAGCAGAUCUGGAGCUUUCACUAGGAUUCUGCUAAUUUCGUAUACUAAGCUGGUAGAAAUUAUCAAGAAGCACAAAAAGGUUAGGUUUUUUCGUUCUAUGUUUUUUUUCUUUUUGGUGGUAAUGGCUGAGGCAAAUAUCUUGUGGGGGAUACUUUACUUCUUAUGUUCACGGGGAAUCUCCGCUUUGGAGUUUAUGGCCGUGUAACAUGACCUUUAAUGCCAUCACAGGAAGAUUCAGUGGCAAACAUUUAAUUGGAAAAACUCAAAAAAGAAAAGAUGAUUCUUGAUUUGAUAUCUCCUACUUUGUAUAACCGUUGCCUUCUCUUUCUCCAGGUUUGUUUUGUCUCAUAAGUGAUGGUGCAAUAAGUCACAUGCAUGUCCUCUGAAUCCGCGUAGCAUCAAGAAACUUUCCCUUUGAAUUGAUGAUGUCAGGUAAAUUUUGUUGUUUGUUCUCCAUUUAUGUCUGAUUGAUAGAUAUUGAGACUUUGCAGAUACUUACUUUGAUUUGUCUAUUUGAAGGAGUUGAAGAAAACGGAACCCUUGAGGAAAUUAGGGAGAGAAGAUCAGACUUUGAAAUCUCGGAAGAUGAGAGGCGGCGCUCCAAAAUCGGGAAUUUGAAGAAGAAAGCGAUUAAUGCUUCCACCAAGUUCACUCAUUCUUUGAAGAAAAGAGGGAAAAGGAAAAUUGACUAUCGGAUUCCUUCAGUCUCCAUCGAAGAUGUACGGGAUGAAAAAGAGGAAAGCGUUGUGCUUGAAUUCCGCCGCAACCUUCUCGAGAGAAACUUGCUGCCUCCUAGACAUGAUGAGUACCAUACUCUUCUGAGGUUAGUUUGUCCUUAUUUAGCAGCUACAUAAACACUCUGGUCGCUUGAAAUAAAAAUGUGAGUAGUUGUAUAUAAAGUGGAGCUAACUAACCAUUCAUUUUGAAAAUCUAGAUUCUUGAAAGCGAGGGAUCUUAACAUUGAAAAAACUAUCCAGAUGUGGGAAGAAAUGCUUAGAUGGAGAAAAGAGUAUGGGACAGAUACCAUACUAGAGGUAAGCAGUCAUAGAUUUAAGUUUGACUCCAGCUUCUUUGUUGUUCCAUAUAAAAGAGAGAAGUAAUUUUCGUGUUAGUCAAUGGAUUCAACAUCAAGCUCUUAUGUUCUGAUAAUUCUAUGCAUUCGGAUGCUAGGAUUUUGAUUUCAAAGAGCUGGAAGAAGUUCUGCAAUAUUAUCCUCAAGGGUAUCAUGGAGUUGACAAGGAAGGAAGACCUGUCUACAUUGAAAGACUUGGAAAAGCUCAUCCCGCUAAGCUUAUGCGUAUCACCACCAUAGAUAGAUAUCUCAAAUACCAUGUGCAAGAGUUUGAGAGAGCUCUCCUUCAGAAAUUCCCUGCAUGCUCGAUUGCAGCCAGGCGUCGAAUUUGUUCCACGACUACAAUACUAGAUGUGCAAGGACUGGUACUUAUUCAAGCUAUUCCCAAGUUUUGGAAUUUUUCUUGCACUGUAUUAUGCUCUGAAGCAAAAUUUACUUUUUUAGCGCUUCCAUAUUCUUAGCUGUGCAGUGUCAUGUUUAAUCACAGGGCAUGAAGAAUUUUACACCAACAGCUGCAAAUCUUGUGGCUGCCAUGUCGAAGAUUGACAACAACUACUAUCCUGAGGUACUUGAGUUUCUCAAUUCAUAUGUCAAUUAUUCUUUGCAUACAUACCGGGUUGUUGCAAGUCAUCAUAUCAUUUUGCAGACGUUGCACAGAAUGUACAUUGUAAAUGCUGGGACAGGUUUCAAAAAGAUGCUUUGGCCUGCUGCUCAGAAGUUUCUUGAUGCAAAGACCAUCGCAAAGAUACAUGUACAGCUUUCAGCCUAGUUUUUCUCUUUGGUCAACUUUUGCCAUGUGUACGUUAUCUUAUUUCUGUUGCUGCAGGUGCUAGAACCUAAAUCUUUGUCCAGAUUACACGAAGUUAUUGAUUCAAGGUAGUUUGCUUUUCCAUUCAAACCGCACCUGACAAAUUUCAAAUAUCAUUUGUAGCUAUUACUUACCAGCUCCAUCGCUCUGUGCUUUUAGUCAAUUGCCAGACUUCCUCGGAGGCUCAUGCUCUUGCUUUGGCGAUGGAGGGUGUCUUCGCUCGAAUAAAGGACCCUGGAAUGAUCCUGAAAUAAUGAAGGUAAAAAUCUACAUCCUAUUAAAUUUUGCUUUUAAAUUUUUGGGCACGCUGUUCUUUCCUUACGAACUUUUAAGUAGGAGUCAGCUUAUAGUCCGGGCUUGUUCAUGAAGAUCAUUUUAAAUCUGUGCCUUUAUUAGCUCAUCUAUCAUGGAGAGUCAUCACUCUUUAGACAAAUCACCAGGAAGCUGAGUGACCCACAGAAUUCUUCAUCCUACAUAAGUAUACAUCCAUCGAAGGUAAAUGGCUAUAUCAAGCCAAUAUCUGUUUGUUUUGGAAUUUUUGUUUUUUUUUUUGUUUUUUCCAGGUAUAUAUGACAAAUUCAAAUUUGAAUAUCAGGCUAUGCAAGCUGAGACUUCUGCAGCAGAAUGUGUAUCUUGUUCUGAUGUUCCUACUUCUCUAACUGGAAGGGUGUGCGCAGCCUCUGCUCAUGUGAAUCCAGCUUAUGAGGAAGUGAGUUCUUGUGUUGGUACAUUUUGUGUCACAGACCACACUAGUUAUCUUAUCACUGACCGGAAAAAUAUGAUCUAUGCAGGCAAGGGCAUCAGAUGUUAAUGGCUAUUAUAGUUGCGAUGACAAGUUUGCCAUACCUAACAAAGCUACUAACCGAAAAGGCCAAGAAAGGCAAUCCCACUACCAAAUGCUGGAACUCAAUCAAACAACACUCGGUUUAAAACAUGAAACAUCUCCACCAGGUUAUACUGCUAACUCAUGCUUUGCUGCUAAAAACAUAUUCCUUUGUAAUUUUCUCACCUUUUGAAUUUCAUCUUCCCUCUGGUACCUUCCAGGUGCUCCCAUCAUACGAUGGCUUCAUGAUUUAAGGGGAACAAUUGACAGCAUAAAAUCUGAGAACCUAGCCAAAAGGGUACUCUCGUUUAUGCUGAAACUAGCAGCAGUUUUCCGUUAUAUCCCGUUUGAGCUUUCGAGAAGACAAAACACCGUUACUCCUUCAAACCCAACAGAAGAUAAUAAUAGGAGAAGCCUCAUUCCAACUUCUACAGAGCUCACAAUGAAAGACCGGAUUCUUCCGUGUUUGGAGCGUAUUCAGAAGCUGGAGAAAAAGUAUGAGGAAAUCCGGAACAAACCCGUUGAAAUUCCCGUAGAGAAGGAGAGAAUGCUGUUGGAUUCUCUUGACAGAAUAAAAUCGGUUGAGUUUGAUCUUGUUAAAACAAAGAGGGUAUUAUGAUUUUCCUUUGUUUUUCUUCACAAACUUACUUAGAAUUACAGUAUGGACUUGACAUGUUCGAUGGUUGCAGGUUUUGCACGCCACAGUGAUGAAGCAGAUGGAAAUAACCGAAAUGCUGGAAAGUUUAAGAGAGUCCCAACUUCACGUAAGUCCUCGAGAUUAUGACGCUAUAGUGAACAAGAUUUGCGAUGAGCUAACACCUGCAGAUUGUUGUUUGUGCAGAGAAGAAGAUUGUUCUGUUAGAAACCAUUAGAGAACAUCUGAGUUUUGCAUAAAAUACAGCUCCAAACUUCUGCACAUACAGAGAGAGAAAAAAAAUCCAAUAAACAAACGGUGUUAGUUUCUUAAUCUCCUUCCUCCUCUAACUUCUGUUAUCUUUCUUUCCUCAUAGGUCCAUCUGCUUCCACUUUUAAAUUAAAAAAGAAGAAGAUAGGGACAGUGAAAAUCUUUGAUGUUCGAUCUUGUCGUUGAUAAUGUAGAUUGAGAUCAGAGUUGAAGUAUCAAGCUGAUUUCCAAACCCUUUUGUUGUAAUCGGUGUAGAGAAGAAACUACACUAGAAGAAAAAAAAAGAAUCGUAUGAGAUUUUGUAAAUCUUUUUUAAGGUAAUAUGAUGAGGAAAACACUACCGAGUCUCUAAUGUCUUUACUCUAUGAAGAGAAUCCAUUUGUUUAACAUGAACGCAACAAGAAACAAAAUUGUGAAUGGUUAUACUAUAAUCAUGUAGUACGAUUAUUUAGGAAUCUGGUGCAUCUUGUAGUUGUUAUAGGUAGAUUGUGUAAAAUAUUUACAUAAUUCCAAAUAUCCGAAUGCAAAUGAUAUAAAAGUCAAAUCAGCCCUCGUAAACUUGAUUGAAUACGAGAGACACCCGAAUUAUGGAAGGGUAAGAUUGUAAACAAAGGAUGAUGAAAGUGUAAGGAAUUUUAAAAUCGGGGAAAAAUCGGGACCGUCCUUUUCCACUGAUGUAAGCCUGUGAACGAAGAAGAUAAAUUUCCCUGUCUUCUCUCUCUCUCUCUCCUUCUCCGUUCUUGUUUUCUGAAUUCGCUCGAAAUCGAUCUCAACGCCAAUCCAAUGAUGUUUUAUAUUCGACCCCAAACUUAAAUUUAGAAACCACAAUUUCUCGAAGUCAAUCCGUUUUCAUUUUCACGAAUUGCAUCGCCAGGUGAAUUUGUUGAUCCUAUGUUUUGUACGCCUUUGAUUGCCAUGUUGCUGAGUUUUUGGAAUCGUGCUCCGCUUUUGUUCUUAAUUCGAUAUCACGAUUGCUUACGCAUGUGCGGGUUUUCAUUUGGUUUCGCUUUUCCCUCCGCGGCUUUGUGAAUUUGAACUUUUAGUGCGUCGUAGCCGAAUCAGGGGCUGUUUUCUUCGUUUCGUGUGGGAUGAGGCUACGAUUUUAAUAUUGAACUUGGGAAUACACUUUAAUCUUUGUCCAGAGGGCUCCUAGUACCUAAGCGCUUUGCUUGUUGGAUAUUGUUACUCUCUGGCAUAUUGUCUUGACUAUGAAUUCGCUAGAUCUUGUUUUAGAUGUUGCAGCUCAAGCAAUAUGUACAGAUAGUUAUGGUCUUUUGAAGUCUUACCUAAGAUAGUGUCUUUAUAUGUUAUUGUUCACUUUAGGUCCCUAUUUUGAGCCUCAUCCUUGUGAGUAGGAAUAUUAAGCUUCCUACUAUUGUAGCUUCUGUGGUCCCUUGCUUUGAGAGUUCAGUAAUAGAGGUACUUUUCUACAUGUUAAGGCCCUGUUUAUCAACUAAAAAAAAUGUCCAAUUACCACCAAGAGGAGGAUGCUGAUUACAUGGACGAUGUGGAUGAUGAAAUGGAUGAUGUGGUUGACGAUGAUAUAGAUGACGAGUUUCGCGGGGAUGAUAUGGUUGCAUCGGAUUCCGAUGUCGACGAGUUUGACUACUCAGUAAGUGUGCCUGUACCUGUAAGAAGUCUAUUAAUGUAAAUUUAUUUGUGCCAUUCUUGAAUGCUUUAUGUGAAUUGUAUAGCUAAUAAUAAUAUCGGUUCAUAAUUAGGAAUUCAGUUUUUUUCGAUGUUGUUGCAAUCGCUUACUCUACUGUGUGGACUCUUUGGUUUCAGAAUAAUAAAAUAGCUGACACUUCAGCUGAUCAAGCCCGGAAAGGGAAAGACAUUCAGGGGAUUCCUUGGGACAGGCUUAGUAUUACACGUGAGAAAUACAGACAAACUAGACUAGAACAGUACAAAAACUACGAAAAUGUUCCCAAUUCUGGGGAAUCCUCGGGGAAAGUAAGUCUUUCAUUCUCUGACCCUUAAGCCUUUGUCGACUUGUUUUACUAGUAUUAGUUUACAUAUCAUUCAUUCAUUUGUUUAAUGACCUCAGGAUUGCAUGGUCACGCAGAAAGGGGCCAUUUUUUAUGAUUUCUGGCGGAAUUCAAGAUCUAUCAAAUCAAGUAUUCUUCAUUUCCAGGUUACCAUCGAAGCAUAGCUAUUUUUGUUAUUCAAAGUUCUUUUUGGUAGCUCAGUCGGUAUGCCAUGUGUUUGGUUUAUAGGAUGUACAAAUUGCUACAACUGUCCACAAAAGUUGAAAGAAAUUGAUUCGUAGAACGUUUGCUGUGCUAAAAAGCAUGUACGUGGACUUCUAAUAAAAAGUCGUUUUCUUUGGUUUGUAGUUGAGGAAUUUGGUUUGGGCAACUUCUAAGCACGAUGUCUACCUUAUGUCACAAUUUUUGGUGAGCCACUAUUCUACUUUGACAUCUGGAAAGCAUGAAGUUCUCAAUGUUCAAGGUCAUGUUUCCCCAUCCGAGGUUAGUUUCUUCUGGAAUCGUGAAAGAUUCUUGUAAAUCUACAUCAGUUAAUGAUGAUUUUUUCUUUCUUUUCUUGUGUGGGUGCAGAAACACCCUGGAAGCUUGUUGGAGGGAUUUACGAAGACUCAAGUGAGUACACUUGCAGUGAGAGAUAAAUUUCUAGUUGCUGGCGGAUUUCAAGGAGAACUUAUCUGCAAGGUAAGCUCUAGAGUUUUACGAAUCAUGCAUUUCACAUACAUGCAAUCUGAUCAAGGAACUUCAUCUGUUUCCCCAUUGAUUUGAUUCAGCACCUUGAUAGACCUGGUGUGAGCUUUUGUUCACGUACAACUUAUGAUGAUAAUGCUAUCACCAAUGCAAUUGAGAUUUAUAACAAACCCAGGUAUUUACUUGUCUUUUGGUCGAUGUAGUUUUUGCCAACUUGGGCAAUUUACAGCUUCUAACUUGCCUUUUGGCGUCUGCCUGGCUUCAGUGGAGCGCUUCAUUUUACCGCAUCAAAUAAUGAUUGUGGAGUCAGAGAUUUUGAUAUGGAGAGAUAUCAGCUUGUACACUAUUUUCGCUUUCCUUGGCCAGUGAAUGUAAGUUCCUUACUUGUUUCUUGAUUCAUUGUUUCUGCUUUGUCAUAAGUCGAUCAGUCACACUUGGGACAGUAAGUUUAAGUCAUAACUACGGUAUGGAAUCUGACAUCUUUUACAUCAUGAAUCAUUUAACUAAAAAAUGGAUCAUUUUUUAUUCUUGUCAGCACACAUCUCUGAGUCCUGAUGGUAAAUUAUUGACGAUUGUGGGAGACAACCCGGAGGGCCUUCUCGUAGACCCCAACACGGGAAAGGUGCAGAUACUAUCAUCUCUAUGUUCAAUUACUAUGAAAUAAAUACGCUCUUUCUUUCUAACUCAAUUGGAUCAUUUCCGACAGACACUGGGAACGCUAGCAGGACACUUGGACUUUUCCUUUGCAUCGGCAUGGCACCCAGAUGGGGUCACAUUCUCCACAGGUAACCAAGACAAGACAUGCCGGGUUUGGGACAUACGUAACCUGUCUAAAUCUGUUGCUGUCUUGAGGGGUAACCUCGGGGCAAUCAGAUCCAUCCGCUACACAUCUGAUGGGAGAUACAUGGCCAUGGCUGAGCCGGCAGACUUUGUGCAUGUCUAUGACGUCUCAAAAGAGUAUGAAACAGAGCAAGAGAUCGAUUUCUUUGGGGAGAUCUCGGGAAUAUCCUUUAGCCCUGACACAGAAGCGCUCUUCAUCGGUGUUUGGGACCGCACUUACGGUAGUCUCCUUGAGUAUGGUCGGCGCCGUAACUACUCCUACCUUGAUUCAUUUCUUUAAUCAUUCACUCACAAUAAUAAAAGAGCGUUCCUCACUCUCCCGUGGCUGGCUUUGUUCAACCGAGAAACCCGACCAAGAGAAAACGUUAAAAAGUGUAUAACUGAAUCUCUCUAAUGGUGUAAAUGAUGUGUUGUGCAAUUACUAGUUAAGGGCCAUGGCUAUGGGUAUAGAAAAGAAACAUUUGCCUGAGCCCAUUUUUUAAUAAAAUUUUGAAGACUCCAUUUGAUUAAUUGCUAAUUUUUAAAAUUUUCAAUUGAGUUUUGUUUACAUUAGCAACUAAUUAAAAAGAUUAAUUUAAGUGGAGUGAAUAGAAAUUAGGCGCAUUUGUUUUUGCAAAUCUUGUCCCAUGGCAAGUCUGAGCGUUUGCAUCUAUAUCAAUUAGAUAUGGAUUAAAACUAACAAAAGAGAAAGUAAGGCGUUGAAAGAAAAACCGUGUAAACUACGAGGGCUUCAACAAAAACUAUAUGACUGAAAAAUCUCAUAAUCCAGAAAGAACCAACGAGAUAAUGCCACAUCAUCAACCCGAAAUCGUAUCCUCACAAACAAAAUCCUGUUUCGUCUCCUGAUGACCCAGAGAAGCCAAAACCGAUCCCUAAGAUCAUAAAUCCAAAACCACUCAUUUCUAAUUUGCACUCCAAAAGAAGAAGAAGAAGAAGAAGAAGAAACAAUGGCGACAAGUGCAUCUGCUUUGCUCUCUCCUUCAACAUUCUCCACUGCAAUCUCCCAGAAAAACCCAAACUCCAUCUCAUUCCAUGGCCUCCGUCCUCUCCGCCUCGGUGGCUCCUCCUCCGCCUUACCCAAGCUCUCCACCACCACCGCCGGAAGAAAAUCCUCCUCCGCCGUCGUGAGAGCCGAGCUAAGCCCAUCCGUCGUUAUAAGCCUCAGCACGGGUCUCUCCCUCUUCCUCGGCCGAUUCGUUUUCUUCAACUUCCAGAGAGAGAAUGUGGCCAAACAGGGCUUGCCGGAGCAGAACGGUAAAACCCACUUCGAAGCCGGCGAUGAUCGUGCCAAGGAAUACGUCAGCCUCUUGAAAUCCAACGACCCGAUUGGAUUCAACAUCGUCGAUGUUCUUGCUUGGGGCUCUAUUGGCCACAUCGUUGCUUACUACAUCUUGGCCACUUCUAGCAAUGGCUACGAUCCCAGCUUCUUUGGCUGAUAUUCAUUAUUCUCCAAUCUCUGUCUCCUAUAUGAAUGUAUAUCUUUGACUUGUAUCGCAAGCUAUCUAAUAUAUUCUCUAUCUUUGUUUCUU